AAUAUGGAAGUGAAUGCGAGGCAUGAAAGUAUUAGGAGUGCGUCUUUUUUCAAAGAAAACUAAAUGCACACUAUAUCUCUGUUUUUGGAAUCUUUUUUGCCUAACUAUAUUUUUUGCUUUGAUCUGAUGAACUUGGUGUUUAAUACUGAACGGAGUGUAUACAGUUCAGAUUCCGCCUUUUUUUUUUUAAUGCAUUUAUGCAGGAAAGCUAAUAACUUAGCAUUGAUCUUAUUUGAUGCUGUAGUUUGUGAUCCAGUCAUGGGAGAUGAAGGAAAGCUAUAUGUUCCACAAGAGUUGGUAUCUGUGCAUCGAGAAAAGGUGAGCCUCAGACCACUUGAUCUACAUUUUACGGCACAUUACCAUCGUUUUCUAGCAUUUUAUAAAUUUGUUUUAUGUCCUGUAGUUUAUUCAGAGAUAAUGGCUUGGAGUCAUGUUUAAUACUCUUUGUUCUUAAUUUUCUUUAUAUGAUGUUAUAUUUUUGACAAGUCUGUGAUGUUUGAUCUACAUGUUUAAUAUUUUUUUCCUUUUUCGUUUUUGUUAAUUAAUGUAAGGUCGUUCCUGUUGCUUCUAUGCUUACUCCAAAUCAAUUUGAAGCUGAACUACUGAUUGGAUUGAGGUAGGUAUGCGUUUAGUUUGAAGAAUAACAUUUAUUUUACAUUGGCAUCAGGAGCAUCUGACCAGAGUCCAUAUAAUACUAUUUAUAUCUAAUUUUUUUUCUUUAGGAGCGUCUGAUCACUUUGUAAUCAUAUUUAUGUACGAAAAUGCUUCACAGGUUGUUGUUAGAAGAGUCAUAUCCUGGUGUGCUACUUUUUGAUUUUUGAACCCGGAAUUGUAUUUAAUAUAUUGUGAUUUAGUAUAGGAUUAAAAGAGUUAGUUAUUUUGUUAAGUUUAACUAAAAUCACUGUUUGUGGAGGAAUUAUGUAUAGCUUCAAUGUAGUAGAAUUUUGAUGCUUGCAAUUUGAUAAUAAUUACUUGAUUGCUAUUGUCAUGACUCUAUAUUGACAUCUUCAUGUUUUAUUAGAGUAGUUGCAUCUGGUUUGUAGGUCUGUUGCAUCCAACAUGCAAAUAUGAAUCAUGUUAAAUCUGAGCUAAUUCUACUCAUAUGACAGUUACUUCAUUGAAUCUUAUUAUAUAGUUGCUAGUUCAAUUUGCCAUCCUAGAUAUCUAGUACUAAGAUUACUGGUCAUUUUCUAUUCAAUCGAUUAUUUGGUAACAUGUAUCAAAACUAGUUGUAAAUUCAUGCCAUUACUUAUCUGGAUUGGCUGAUAACUAUGAAAAUGCCGCUUUGGUAUGGUAAUGAGAACUCAUAUCCUUGCUUACUAACCGUAGCUUCGUAUUUACCAUCCUUAUUAUCCAACUAAAGACGUUAACCCAUUUAAUUUCAUGUUUUCGCUGAAGGAUAAACACUAAGAGCUGAAUGAUAGCUCAACAUAAGCAAGGGAGGUUCCAAAUGUUAUGAACUUUAUGAGCUGAAUGAUAGCUCCGAUUCUCGACCCGGCGAUCCCCAUAUCUCCCUUGCUAUCGCCCAUGACCUACUCGGCCCCGCGAGGACGAUCCUCGACGAUCCGAUCCGAGCCCUCAGCGGUGCCGCUUCUCGAUUCCUCUUCUCAAUUUGGUGCUCCGAUCCAUUGGUAAGAGUUCUCAAUCUCAAAUCAUUAGUUUCGUACUCGAAUCCUCAGUUAUCUCAAAUCAUUAGUUGUAGGAAUGAUUAGACGAUUUAGAUGUUUCAUACUUUCUUAUCCUUUAUUUAUUUGCAAAUUUGGACUUAUUCAGAAAUCUGCAUUGGUUUAGAAAUCCUACUAUAUCUGCAUGUCUAUUUUGUUUUUUCUUGGGAUUUCAUUAAAUUCUUUUAAAUAAGGUAAAUGCUUAUGGGGUUGUGGGCUUAGAGCUUAGGGUUUAGGAUAUUUGGGUCGUAUUAUAAAUGCUUUAGCUACACCUAUUGAUGGGAGGGGAAAUUUCAGCUUCUAAAUCUUGGUUAAUGCCCCCUCAAAUAGGGCUUAUUGCUAUUGAUUCUAUAUACGUAGAUGAAUAAAUAUGUAUCAUACUCUAGACUAUUAACGAAUAUCUAUCCCGAUCCUUCUCUAUUAAUUAUUGGUUUACACACCAUUUGUCUUUCCGCCAGCGGCUUAUGUAGUGGUCAGCCAAAGCCUCACAGCAUCUAGUAGUCUUGCCCCGACUUGAUACCCUAGCAUCUAAAUAGGGGCUCUUCCUUAAUUUACUUGUGCUUGGAUAAUGAAGGAGCAUAUAUGAGCAUGAAUCUUUUUACUACACUAAAAAAAAAGAUGUAGGUUAUGCUGCUUUAACUUUGUUCUUUUGUAUCUUGAUACAUUUUCUUUUCAGUAGCUUUUCUACCUUUGUUUAAUGAUCUUAAUCUUUUUUUUUUUUUGUUUAAUGCAUUUCGUAGUGCAGAUACCAAUUUUCACUUUGUUGGGUGGCAAACUUUUACUGAACUCUUAAUUCAACUUCGGUCGCACUUUGUUGGGUGGCAAACUUUUACUGAACUCUUAAUUCAACUUAGGUCGCACUGUCUAUAUAUUUUAUUAGGUAACUUCAUAAUUUUUUGAAUCAAGUCUAGAUUUAGCCUAUAGCCUGAAAUCUUUUUUGCUGUUCUCAUAUUCAUUUUCAGAUGUGCUUGUCUACUUAAUUAAAGUGCUAUUAUUACAAAAUGAAAAGAAAAGAUAGACCAAAUCAGUACAACCUAACUUUUAUAUUUUUCAGAAAUUUGAUAUGAUGAUUUUUAUUUGGUAAUUUCGGACACUGAUUUUAUGACUUUUUUUUUGUUGAUCCAGAACAGCUGGAGCUGCGGAAAUUGAAGUGGGAAGCAAGAAUUUCAAACAUGCGGUGUUUGUUAUUUUUUAGCUACAUUUUGAACAAGUAUUUUUUGUUAGAACUUAUGUUUGAAAUUUAAUUUGAAUACUGAGAUUGUAAUUUGAGAGUUGAGACUAUUUGUUAUACAAAUUAUUAAUGCUUUUUGGUUACUAAUAUUUUUUAAUAUUUCAAUUCAUUGUAGUAUUUAGUUGUUAAUCAAGUAUUUUAAUAUUAAUUUAAUUGCCGCUAUAAGCUUUAUUAAUCAAUCAUUUAGUAUGUUUUUUGCGGCAAUUAUAAUUAAUUGUAGCGGCAUUUAUAAUAGUUGUUAUUGUAUAUUAUUUAGCGGCAUUUAUAAUAGUUGUUAUUGCAUACUAUUUAGCGGCAUUUAUAAUAGUCGUUAUUGUAUAAUAUUUAGCGGCAUUUAUUUGGAUUUUUACCAACCGCCGGAAUAAAUGCCGCUAAAACUUUUAGCGACCCUGCCAAUAGCGGCAAUUGUUAAAAUUGCCACAAAAUAUUUUAGCGGCAAUUGUAAUUGCCGCUAAUUUAAAAAAUAAUCGCCGCUAAAAUAUAAUUUUGUUGUAGUGUGACUAUUGCUAGAUGCUUAAAUAAGUGUUGCUAAAUUAGCAAGACUUUUGUAGGUUAUAGCGACACUCUUUAACUGUCACUAUAUACCUAGCGACCCCACAUAUAGCAACACUUUUUAAAAGUGUUGGUAAUUUAGCCAGCAACACUUUUUUUUACCUAUACCGAUAUUUAAAAGUGUCGCUAUAGACCGUUUUUGUUGUAGUGUCAUGAGCAUAUUAACAACUAACACAAACAUAUGCAUAGAAGUGCUUAAGCAGUUAAUUAGAAAUGUCAGUAGAUGACUGAAACAUAUGCAUCGAUAAGCUUACCAAUUAAUUGUUUAUUUAGUUUCUCAUAUCCACAAACAAGACAUACUAAUUAGUUGUCGGAAAAGAAGCUAUGAAAAGGAAAUAUUGUUUGAGUGAUCAAAAGUAUAUGUGAGAGUUCCAAAAGUUAAUGUUUAAUGCACAGAAAAUGUGCAGUGGCUCUGCGAUGUAGUUGAACGUUAAAUCAUGCAUGGUGGUACUUCGCAGCAACGUAGGGGCACUUCGAAGGGGUAAGAGAAUAUGUAGAUGCUAUCGUUUUAAAGAGGCGAUAAGGUUCGUUUGAUUAUCCAACCGUUUUACGUGCAUGCAUGCGUGCGUGCGUGAGUAUUGACGAAGGAUCUAGUAAAAUGUGUCGAUCAGCAAGGGAUUCAUUGUACGUUCCACACCACGACCUUUCCAAUCAAAUUAUUACAGCUCCAACAAACUAAUCUGACAUGUUAACGUUCAUAAACUAUUUUUUAUCAAAUUGAUCUUUUAACUCUGCAUCACUCGAUUGGUUUUAGAGGUGUUGAGGUUGUAUUCAAACACCUUCAAAGUGUUUUAAUAUGAGCGUAUCGAGCAAUUUGAUUUAGGACUAGCCAUUGCUAGAAACAGAAAAAAAAUUGUUUGUCCUUUGUUUUGUUAUGGUAUCUCUUUUAUAAGUACAAUAUUGAUAUGAUAUUUAUAAUUUAACUAAUUUAAAAAUUGCAUGCUAAGCUAUAAGUAGGUAAAUCAUUUCUAGUACUACGUGAUCGAGCUAAUAAAUAUAUAUACAAUAAAGAAGAUGUGAUUAUUGAGGCAAUUGAAUUGAAAUAGUUAGUUUUUAUGAUUGAAUAAUAAUAAGUUGAGAUGGUUAGUUGUUGCACUCAACAUCAUGCAUGGGCUUUACGUCGUCGUUUUACGUGCCACACGGUUCCAUCUAAAAUUGCGUGCACAUUUUAUUUUUAAUUUUAUUCUUUACCUUUUUUUUUUUUUUACUGUAGUAACUUCUCUCAAAAAAUACAAAAAAAAAACAGAGAGGAAAACUUAGCUAAUAUUUUUGUACACUACCCUACGUCACCCGUUUACAGGUUGGCCCCGUCUACAUGAUAGCCUCAUCGCGUACGUAAUUUGAGCCACACAUAGUUCACUAUAAAAUGAAAAAAUUAAAGGGAAUUUUAAAAAAAAAAAUUCAUUGACCAUAAGUUUUAAUUUAAUUGACACGCGUCGCUAGCUAGUUUGAAGGUUAAAUUUGACAUUUUUUUAUUAGAAUAUUUGAGCGCGAUAUAAAGAUUGUUGGCUUAAAUAAACCAGCAUUUUGUUCUGUGCAGGGAGGCUAAGUAGACUGAGUCACGUUCGAAAUGGCGCGAGGUUGGGUUGGACGAAGUCAUGUUUGAAGUGGCGUAAGUUUAGGGGGACCGAGCCAUAAUCGAGACUCGUAGGCGUUGUAUCUAUACGCUUUAAUUAAGUGAAUUAGUUGCAUAGCUCGAGCUUUUGGGAUUAACGAUUAGCGCCAACGAUCCGACAUCUUUUGGGAUUAACGAUUAGCGCCAACGAUCCGACAAAGAUGUCUGCGGUUGAUGAUUCAAUUGAAUAGCGUGACGGCUAAAAAGUUAAAGUAAAAAUAAAUUUGGAAGAAAAAAACAUAUUUGCUUAUUUAUAAGGUUUAAUUAGUCAUUAAUUAGAUGUAAGAAGACACAUGCAUUUUUAUAUUAAUCCAAAAGAAGGAAUAAAUUUGCAUAUUUUAAGUAUUUCGAGGAAUAGGUAUGAUAUAUUUAAAUUUGCAGGGAUAAAUUGAUAUAAACAAAUUUCUUUUAGAGAGCUUUUGUGAGCACAUAAAAAUAUUAGUGAUUUGGAAGUAAUUGCUUGCGCUGAUGCAUUUGUGAGUUUAUUCAUCUUAAUUUCAUCCACUCAUCAUUGAUCCCAUCUAAUAUUGUCAAAUUCAAAAUAUCCAUUGCAACAUCCAAUAUAUGAAUAAAUGUGCAAGCAUCGAUAUAUAUAUAUAUAUAUAUAUUGUUUAACUAAUAUUUAGCGAAAAACAUAAUUAGCGACCAUAAUAUUAUUGAAAAAAUUAUGACCUAAAACUAGCUAAAAAAAUAUUUUUUCAAUCAAAAUGUCUUUUUUAGAGAUAUUUUUGGGUAAACCAAAUAUUUUUAGUAAUGUUUUUUGCAUAAAAUACGGAGAAUCGUUUUUUAUGAAAAAGAGUUUUUGAAUAAAAAAUAAUUUUAUAGGAUAUGAUGCUUGGUUCAUAGAAAAAGAAAAUCAGUUUCCAUACCAUAUUUAUUUACCUUGUCCCGAAAAAUAGAAAAAAUAAUAUAUAUAUAUAUAUAUAUAUAUAUAUAUAUAUAUAUAUAUAUAUAUAUAUAUAUAUAUAUAUAUAUAUAUAUAUAUGAGUUAUUUAGAUAAAUUAUUUAGUUUAUUUUAUCUAAACAUAUUAUUUAAGUAUUAUAGGAUAAAUAAUAACAAGAAAUCAAAUAUAUUUUAAAAUAAUAUGAGAUUAUAAGUAGAGAUUAUAAGUAUGCAAUUAUAUGUAGAGAGCAAUUACUCUGUUUUUUUAUUAUCUAAUAAUAAAAUAAUAUAUAAUAUAUUAUUUAUACAAUGUAGUUUAUGCAUUCGGUCAAUGAGGUUAUACUACUUUAAGCUCAUGGACCACGUCAAAAUUCCUAAUGUGGACUUGGGACGCGGCUAUUUUUCUUUUCUCUUUCAUAAAGAGAAAGAUAGCAUGCAUGCCAUUUAUUUCGUUUAAGUCCUUAAACUUUUAUACUGUAAUUUUUGAGGGGAGAAAUAUUUAUUUUUUAUUUUUUUUGGGUAGAAAAUGAAAACUCUUUCUUUUCAAAAUAUCUGUAAGGUUAUUUUAGAGGGAAAAUUUUUUAUUGGCAAUCAAAUCAAAUGAUUGAAAAAUUAUUUUUUCUAGUCAAAAAUUAUUUUGGGCUCACUUUUACACUUCCCUAGUUCAACACAAGUGGAUAUUCAACCUUCAACCACCGGAGGUUGAUCCACAGCUUGACGAACAUCGAAUCGGUCUAAACCGAAGUACGUACUAAAUUUCAGCCCAGCUCUGACCAAUGUUUGUUCAUUGUGGUGCAAUUUCAGUCCCAAUGGGGCGAAGAACUUUUCGGGCUUUUUACUCUUUUAGCCCCAAUUUGGAAAGGGUGAAUCUUGGGCCAAAGCCUAUAUAACUAGGCGCAGCCCACUCCCAUCCUAGCAUAUACAGGCUCAAAGCGUAUUUGGAUGCACGAGUAUUUUGUUCAGUGUAUCUCUUUAUUUAAUAAAGAAAUAAUCGGUAGAAAGAUAAUCACUACAUAAACAAGAGCUAAAAGAUGAAGAUAUUUCGCAGAAAUUUGGACUCGUACCCACACAAAAUCAAGCAUCAACCAAAUACAAACUAGCAUGCGUAUCAACUAAUGAUCCAUCAUAUGCUGCAGAAAGAUUUAGAUGUCCAAGUCUAAGUCUCAGGCAAACAAGAGCUGUAAAAGAUCCAAAGCGCAGGAGAAUUUGAGUAUAGGGUACAUAAUGUCGCUUACAUACGCGAUGAGUGGAAACAAGAGAUAUUUCAAUAACAAUUAAGAAGCUAAAAGAGUAAAUGGUCUCACCAAAUUCAAAUUUCACUAUUACUCGACACCCUUCCACGAUUUGGAGAUGAAUAGCAUCCUUAUAGACCAAGAAAAGUUUGAGAGGCCACUUCAACUUUCAAAACUGCACAUAAUCCAGAAAUGCAUAUGAACUAUAUUCAGAGCUAAUGGCCACAACAAAAGACUACCAACUGAAUUUGCUAAUCUGAAAUAUUUCAUGCGGAAUAGUGUUUGGAAAUGUGAAUCAACUAGGAUUCGAACUUGGGUCUCGGGUACCAACCACCAAGUCCUUUGCCACUUGCUCUAGGGACAGUCGGUUUUCAUGCGGAAUAGUUGAUUAACGAAAACAGGCAGAUAAAAAGGAACAAAAUUCAUGUGAACAGCAAGAAGAAUGCAGAGUUCUUCUAAAUGAUCAGAGAGGAUGGGACAGCAUAACGAUUGGAAAGAAAAUGAACAAAAAGCUAAACCAGAUAUCAAAUUACAAUUACCUCAGCGCUAUUAACGGUCACCAAAGCAAUCUCAUGGACAUAAUUGCUUCUUACGAAGUAAACAUAAUACUGAGGUACGAUGUUCGACAGUUAUAAAAUUGCACUGUAGGAUCUUCAUUUCACGAGUAAUACCCGAAUCAUACACUGCAAUAACAGGUUUUCACACUGACCCCACAGACAAGUGCUGUAUUGUGUUAUGCAACUUUAAACACUCUCCUUUUGGAAUUCAAACCAGCAGAAAUGCUGAGAAAACAAAAAAUACUGUUAAUAUUAAGAAUGGCAAAUUACUUUAGCUGCCUGAAAAUAAUUUGUGUUAAGAAUGGCAGUUGGUAGUCAAUACAUUUAAAGUGAUUUGUCCAAAAACAAAUACAUCAUAAUUGCCUGAAAAAUACAGUUAAAGUAAAUUGAACAAACUUUGUCAUUAUUUCAGUCAAAUAAAUUUUCUUAAUAAUCUUCAAUCAACUGAAAGUCAAAUAGCUUGAAUAAUCCUAAAUAUAUCCGAGCACUGAAAGAAAGAGGGACAUUUGAGCCAUUUGCAUUUAAUUGAAACAAUUACAAAGUUCAUAAAGUUUAUUUUAAUGUUUCAAAGUUCGGGCAGUGAUAUAUGCAAUCAAGCAAAAUGUUCAGGGGAGCUAAUCAAGUACUCACAUGCUUCAUAUUCAUCCUUCUAAUCAAACAUCAAUUAAUGGAUUAUAGAAAACAAUUCCAGAUCAAACCCGAUCCUCAAAAUUACAUAUAGCACGAUUCAUCAAGCUUAUAAAACGGGAUUUUGAUUCAAACGAAAAGCAAAGCAAACACCAUGCACUUCAGUUAUAUAAUACCAGGCCCAAAUCACCAAAUCUAUGCUUUUAAAAAAAAAAAAAAAACACGGAGAGUAGGAGCCCGCACAGAUCAACAUCGCAUGGAGGCGAAGGGAUCCCCAAAAUUACACAUAGCACGAUUCAUCAAACUUAUAUAUAUAUAUAUAUAUAUUAUAUGAUCCAAUAUUUGAGGACUUUUUACCGACCGUUCCUAACGCAAGCGGCAAAGGGCUUGGUUGGUACCUGAGGUCCUAAGUUCGAAUCCUAAUUGAUUCACAUUUUCAGUUAAGUUUAUUUAUAAAAGAAAUAAAUAAACCGGAUAGCAUGUUACCUAUUUCUUAAAUUAAAAAAAUUUGAGGUCUUUUUCUCUUUGGCCCCAUAAAUAUUUGUGCUAUAUUUAUCUAAGUAAAAAUGCUCUACAAGGAUAAGAAUCUCGUCCCAUUGGACGAGAUAAUUCACUAAUCCAAUGAGAAUCAAGGCUAUUCACGAAAUUUUCCAAACACUUACAUUGUUUUGCCUAGCACGAUAUUUAAAGUUCACCGCAUUAAUUUUUGGUGCUCGUGCACCAAUGUGAAAGGGACCGUGGGCUCCACGUGUCCACGUGACACAUGGCCCACAAGAUCUUCUGCUUCAAUAAAUUCUACCUUAAAUUUUGGGCUCUCAUGUCCAUAUUACUGUUACGUGGUCCACAAUAUGGAUUUAAGCUUAUAAUUUAUUUAUUUUAUUUUCUUUGAUAUUAAUAUAUAAUUCUAGGCUCUCCACAUGACUCAUUUCAGUAUUCAUCCGUAACAGAAUAAAUUUAGAUAACUCAAUAUGGACGGUUCGAAUUGAUACUGCUAUGAGCAGUAGGGCUGGCAAAUGAGCGAGCCGGCUCGCGUUCGACUCGCGUUCGACUCGAUAUUUGGNGGGAGAGGUCGUACGGAUCAACAUCGCGGCGAUGGCGGAGGGAUCGGGGGAGGAGAUUUAGGCACCCUUGGCGGCGGCGGCGGCGGAGGGAUCGGAGGAGGAGGAGGAGGGGGGAGAAGGGGCGCGGAGUGGGGCGACGAGGGAGGCGUCGGGGUCGAAGUUAGGGUUGAGGGAGCGGUCGAUUGCGUCGCGGCCCUUGUCGAGGCAGGGCUUGCACGCGAUCUCGAUGGUGAUCCACCCCAGGAUCACCGCCGCGAUCGCCACCACCGCGGUCACGAUGGCCCCCAUACCAAUCGACGGUCCAGAUCCCUCGAUCUCGAUCACGAUCACGAUCACGAUCACGAUCACGAUCACGAGGAGGCCCCCCUCUCUCUCUCUCGUUUCUCGCUCUAGCUCUAUUGGUUUAUCAGUGUUCGAGGAGAUCUGCGCCGCUGCGCGGGACACGGGGAAGCGCUUUGCCGUCCGAGGAGAAAGACGAACUAUUGCCUGGACCCGGUUCACCAUGUCAUCCGCGGACAAUUAUAAUUGUGGAAAUUCAUAUUCCGGACUACAUGAUCUCAGAACUUUUUUUUCCAAAAAAAAGAUGAUAAUAUUUCUCCCGAAGUUGGAUUCCCACAUGGAUCUAUCUCGAAUGAAAUAGGGACUGAAAAGUAUUUCUCCUUAUUAAGAAUGGAGUGGUGUUGAUACAUCUUAUAAAAUUUUCCAUCCUAACUUUAGUAUAUAUAUUAUGAUAUAUAUUUUUAACUAUAAAAAUAUACAGAAUUUAUCGUAAAGCUACCAUACUAUCAAAUGUAUAGAGAAUCUAAUGCUUUCGAUUUUUUAGCCAUUAAAUCAGCCUCAUUAAUCAUUUCUAAUCUUUGGAUUAAUACUAUUAUUCUGUGAAGACCAUUCAAUCCUACCGAUACUACUCAAUCCUAAGGGGGACCAUAAUCAUCUCAAACGUACAAUUCUUAAUCCAAGAGUGAAAAAUUCGAAAGUAUCAAAUUCUUUAUACUUUCGAUAGCGUAGUAGCUCUAUAUCAGAAUCUACCUAAACUAUGGAUCGAGCUACACAGUCUUUCAAAAUUAUAAUUUUAAUAUCAAACCUAUCAAUUUAUUUAAUUUGAAUCAGUCAACAUCACUUGAACUUUACAAGUCUAGUUAGUAUAUAUUUUUUUUAGUUCUCGCAAUCAUAAAUUUAUUAAAAUAAAUAAUAAGUUUAAAAUUUUAAGUUAAUGAUGACGGACUCAAAUCAAAUAAAUUAAAAUAUUGGAUAGUAAAAUCAUAUUAUUUAGAUGAUUUAUAGAAUAGAGCUACUAUACUUUUAAAAGUAUAAGAGAGUUUGUGCUUCCAACUAUUUAGCUUUUGAUCAACCCUUUUGACCAUUUUUGGCAUUUGAAUUAAUAUUAUUAUUUUAGAGGACCAUUCAACUCUAAGAAAAACUACUAUCAUUUCAAUCAUAUAAUUCUUAGUCCAAAGGUCAAGAAGUCAAAAAUACUAACUUCAUUAUACUUUCGAUAGUACAGUAACUCUCCAUAUGAUUUAUAUUUUAACACAUACGUAAAAAAAAAAAAAAAAAAAAAAAAAAACUGAACUGAACAAAAAAAAAAGGUGCGGCUCAUGGCGACGUGGUAAACUAAACCCAGGAAAUAUUUUCUGCAGGGCUGACACGUGGACCUGACAUGUGGGCCCCAAGUGUCUGUCUCGUAAAAGCGUCUCCUCUUCCCCCUCUUCGCCCCCCUCCCGUUAGAGAGAAAAAGUAAAGAGCGAGCGAGAGAGAGAGAGAGAGAGAGAGAGAGAGAGUCUCACACAAGUACCUUAAACCCAAUCCAAACCCUCCUCCCCCAAAACCCCUACCUUUCGCCAUGCCACUACCUCUCCUCGGGCGAUCAUGGCGAUCGCCCCUAUUCUCCUCACCCGUGCGAACCCUAGCAUUCUCCCUCGUCCAUCGAUCGACCUACGUCGACGUCGCCAUGAAGUGGAAGAAGGACCCCUUCUACGACUCCAUCGGCGUCCUCGCUCGCUCCAGGGAUCUCAAGCCCCUCGUCUCCCUCAAAAGCAUCAUCGCCCGCGCCCCCUCCGACGCCGGGAUCCCCGUCUCCGCCGUCUCCAAGCGCGGCCGCGCCCUCGAGACCUCCGGCCGCCGCGUCGCCUCCUUCCUCCGCCGCUACCCCGCCGUGUUCGACGAGUACACCGGCCCCAACUACAACCUCCCCUGGUUCAGGCUCACCCGAGAAGCCGUCGACCUCGACCGCGAGGAGCGCGCCGUCUAUGACGCCCGAAAGCCCGAGAUCGUCGACCGGCUCCGGAGAUUGAUCCUCAUGUCGAGGGAUCGCCAAUUGCCGUUCAGAAUUGUGCAGGGGAUGCUGUGGUAUUUGGGCUUGCCCGAAGAUUUCCUCGAAGACCCCAACAACAUCUCUAAUGGCAGCUUCGGGGUAGUCGAAAUCGGAGACGGGGAGAAAGGAUUGAGCGUUGUCGGUGGUGGAGAUGAGCCAGUGUUUUCGGCGCUCCAGCGGAACGCACUGAGGCAAUUUGGCGGUUCUGCGGAUUCGCCUCCUAAGGAAGUUGCUUUCCCACUAUUCCCCUCUAAAGGCCUCCGGUUGAAGAGAAAGAUCGCGCAUUGGUUGGACGAAUUCCAGAAGCUUCCGUACGUCUCUCCGUAUGAGGAUUUUUCUCAUUUGGAUCCGAGCAGUGAUAUCUCGGAGAAGCGGGCGGCGGGAGUUCUUCACGAACUUCUUAGUUUGUUUGUCGAUAAUUCGGCGGAGAGGCGGCGGCUUCUCUGCCUCAGGAAGCACUUGGGGCUGUCGCAGAAGUUCCACAAGGUGUUCGAGCGGCAUCCCCAUGUGUUCUACCUGCUAUUGAAGAGCAAGACCUGCUUUGUUGUUCUAAAAGAAGCUUAUUUUGCCGGUUCGGACACCGCAUUGGAGAAGCACCCGAUGCUUGCGAUAAGGAAGAAGUAUGUUAAGCUGAUGGAUAAAUCGGACGCUAUUCUGAGAAGCCGUCGGAGUAGGAAACCUGUGGAAGAUGCUGCCGAGGGAAGUUAAGUUGCUGCUAUUGAUUCGAUGGAGGAUUCUGAUGGGUUUAGCAGAGGACCAUUAGAACUUGAGCGGAAGUCGGAAGAUUGGAGACAUGUUUGAAGCUGAAAUUGGCAGACUGCUUGGGGUUUGUUGAAUAGUUGAGAAGAAAUUCAUCAUUGUGCACAGAGAAGCUGGAAAGAUACAGGCAUUCACUUGAAUUGUGUUAAGAGGAGGCUAACUCGAGUUUCCGUGGCCAAUUUUGGUGCCAUAUAGUAAAGUCGCCGUAAUAUGCAGCAGACCAUUUGAAUUGCCACCUUGAGAUUGUGCAAGUCCGGUUAUAAAGGUAAAAAAGUUUCCUAUUUAGUUAAAGACCUGGCGAAAACCUUGUUAUAUCAACCGUACAUUCUGUCUACUGAUCUUUACCGUCAAAUUGAGCUAAGAACAAAGAGAUGGAAUUUUGAUUACUGUUUCGUGAUUUGCUAUUUGGAACUGAGAACUCCCUUUAGUAUGAUCGAAGUUUGCUUCUUCAACCUUGUUCAGCAAGUAGUAAAUGCCAAUCUAAAACUAGGAGCACAAUUUUCAUGUUAUUCUGAAGUUUGUUUCUCAGAAAUAGAGCUAAAAGCAAAAGUUGGUGAUUUAUUUGACAUCUACCUCUACCAAUAUCUGAGGAAUGACUGAAAUCUUCUGGAAAAGAGGUACCAUGCAGACUCCAAUUGUAAUGUGUGGUUUUAGCAAAAUAGCACAUAGCAUUGAUGUCUUAGCCGAGAUUGGUAAUUUCUUACUCAUGCUGAUUUUCUGCUUCCAUUUAACUAUGUCUGAUGUAAUUCUGUCGGACUCAAGAUUAGUUUCUUGUGCUGUUAGUUUUUUAGGUCUUAAUUGCGCGCUCUUGAUGGGCCAACCUGAUCCAAUAAGUUGAGCAGUUCUUGGUGAUUCUUGGUACUGCCGACAACUGCAGCAAGGAGUUAAAAGAAACACCUUUUGAAGAAGAACAGUGAAGAGGAAAAUUCUGGGAAUUGAUCUUCUUCUGUUCUCUCUCCCAUUAACACUGCUUACACAAAAGCAAAAGAACUCCCUCUCUCUUUGAUCAAGGUGAUUUGGCAUUUAAGUUGUGGAAGAACUGAAAAGUGUGUGCGCUUUCCAAUUUGCGAUCGCACAUUUGACUUGCUUGUGAUUCUAUAUUUGGUGGCUCGAAGAAUGUCUUAUUCUUCACGCUUCUAAGGCUAGUUCAUUCAUAUCCGUAAUUGUUAUCAUUCGACAUGUACAAAAUGGUGUACUUCUAGCGAAUAAAUUUUGGGAAAUCUUACACUUUGCGGCCCAUGUGUGAAAGAUUUCGAUGAAGUAAAUGAGGGAUUUAACAUUAGAUUUAUGUGCCCAUGAUCCUGGAACUAAGCUGCAUUUAUUAUCCAUUUACUUAAUCAUGCAUUAUCUUCUCAUUAUUAUCUUCCUGUGUCUAGGACCCUGCAUUAUCCAUUGUGUUGGGGAAAUUUAUCUAAUGAAGAAAUUAUUCUCAAGUUGCAGCACUAAAGAACAGAGUACUCGCGCAGAAUUUUUUAUUUUUAAUUUUGAGUCCCUCUAUUUGCUGAUUUUGUGUGGUUGGAGAAGGUUGCAAUAGAUUUUCAGAUAAUUAUUUCAGGUUGAUGAUCAUACAUCCAAAUAUCUCAAUCCCUUUUCCAAGUAUAAGGUUUGGUAUGGAGUUGAUUUCAGGUUGCAGAAGCUUUACUACCAAAGUUUUUAUUUGAGCUGCUUCCUCAAUGUGUAGCUUGUACUUUUUAGAGGAGACGCUAGUAAACUGUGCGCUUAUUUGGCGUGGUCUAAAUUGCACUCUAGGUCCUCCAUGUAUGAAGCGUGGCAUUUUUGGAUUUUAUACUUUAAUUUGUUAUAAGUUUUUGCUUUAAUUUUUAAAAGAUAGUGAUGUGGCAUUUUUUAAUAUUAUUGUAUUAUCAAUCAGAAUACUGUUAUAUUACUGCGACAUAUUUAUUAGUUAGUCAAUAAAAUUAGGUUUUGAUUGCAAUAACUUGAAUGUUUGAAUCAUACAUUAUUACAACAAAUUAAAGUUUAAAGAAUAAAAUAUUAUUCCCUGCAUAGUCUGAGGACCCAAAGUGUAAUUUAGCCUAAUAAAAUAUUUUUAAUUUUCAACCCAAAAGAAAAAAAAUUGGUGGGAAAAAUUGAAUUGAGUUUCCAUGCCACAACAUUAGACUGUCCGAAUCUACCGUUACUACAGCAGGAAACUAUCGAAGAAGAGAACAUACUGCUUCUUUGAACAGCAUGAUUUACUAACAUUUACAGUAAGAAACUUUUGAUCACUUUUUGAUUCUACUUUCAAUUACCGUCGCCAUAAUAGAUCUUCCGUUGAAGCAAAAAAGUCUAAAAUUUCUUUUACAGCGAAAAAUAAAACUAGAUUUUGGUGUUCAAAACAAAAAAAAAAAAAUAUUUUUGAAUAGUAAUGGUCAAAUAAUAUUUUAUCAAAUAAUGCUGUAUAUUUUGGACAUAAAACUUUUCUAAGCACAAAACUAUUUAGCAAAAAUCAACCAGAAUCAUCAAGAAUGGCCAAGUGAUUGAUUAUGUCUCGAUUAUAAGCUGUAAAAUUAUCCACACGAAAAUCCUGGGUUACUGAGUCGUAGAACAUUCUCUCCCACCAAUACAAGUAAAGAUGUCCACACGUACAACUACAAACCGUAGAAUGAAGAGAAAACUUCAAAAAUUCCCUUUGUGGUUUCAAUUUUUUUCACUUUAGUACCCCGUGGUUUAAAAUGUAUCAAGUUAGUACCCUGUGGUUUCUCACUUUAUCACUUUAGUACCCUGUGGUUUAAAGUGUAUCAAGUUAGUACCCUGUGGUUUUGCACUUUAUCACUUUAGUACCAUGUGGUUUCACACUUUAUCACUUUAGUACCCUGUGAUUUAAAUCACAGGGUACUAACUUAAUAAACUUUAAACCACAGGGUACUAAAAUGAAAAAGUAUGAAACCACAGGGAGAGUUUUUGAAGUUUCCCUAGAAUAAAUGAAUGAUUGGCCACAAGCGUGUAACGAGCUAACAAAAUCUAGGCCGACUCAACCUAUCCCAGCUAGGCGCGACUCGACCCGACCGACCCGACUCGAGCCGAACCCAUUGCCCUUUUCCCGACCCAUCAUCCUCCUAUCCUCCUCCAAUAAAUAUGUAACCCGAUCAAAAUCGAGCUCCUCUCUCCUUCUCUCUCUCUCUCUCUCUCUCUCUCCUUCGCCCUCCUCUUCGAUCUCCUUCCCCGAUUCCAACCCUUCUCCCUUAUUCCUCUCAACCCUAACUCCCUCCCCCUUGUUCUCCUCGCCAUGCUCUUCUCUUCCCUGAUCAAUUCAUGACUCACGCGAAGCGGCCCUUCUCCUGUAGCAGCACCGCCGCCGCCGCUCACGGCCCCAGCUCCGCCGGAGUCGCCGGAACCCCGCCUUCCUCCUCCUCCUCCUCCUUGUCCCCGCCCAUGAAGAAGACUAAGCCCCAGCCACCGCCCUCCUCCUCCGCCGAGAAGAACGGCCUCGACGCGGAGGCCGAGCCCGCGGCCGCGGCCACCACUGGCGUCGCCGCCAAUCUCUUUAGGAAGAAGGCGACGCCGCCCCAGCCCUCAGCGAAGAAACAGCUUCGCAUCAAGAUCACGAAAGGUGCCAUCUUUUGCUUGUUCUCGUGUAUUGAGAAUUGUUCUUCUGUCGAUCUUGGAAUGAGCUUGUCUUAGUUGUUUCGCACUUGAAUAAGUCCUGUCUCAGUUGAUAUUCUCUGAUUCUUUCCUUUGUUUGAUUGUUAAGAUAGUUCAAUCCUGAGAAGCAUCUGUCUUGGAGCAGUUUGUGCUAUGCUAGGGUCAGCUCGCAAAGAUUUGAUAGUAAUACUGUGAAAUUGUUGCACUAGUGCAGUGUACUCAAAUUUGAUCUUGUUAUCUCUGUUGGUAAAUGCACUAGGAGAUAAGAUUACUGAUAUGGAUAAUCUUGUAAAGGCGACUUGGUUGUAGCCAAGGAAGAUCAUAGGAUAGGAAUGAGGCAAAUUGAAGCAAUGCAGUAGUAUUGUCUCUCAUGAAAUGACAUAUUAUAUUAGUGAUUUUGCAUUUGCAAUUGUACAAAGCUACUAAAACUUUCUAGUGCUAGCAAUAGUCGAUCUUUAACACAGAGUAGUUCAUUAAAUCUGUUUAGGAAGAUCACUCUUGGUGCCAUCCAUAGGUUCCAUCUUAAGAAUAGGCAUGCAGCAAUACUCCAUUAGAUUAAAUGUGACAAAGAUUCACAAAUUCUAAGUGAUGGAGUGUGCAGGCGGGUGGCGUAAUGCUUGCAGCCCAUAUUAAUUUUUUUGCUUCUUUUUUUCUUUCUUCUUUUUAAAGAGAAGAUGCCAUUUUGCAUCCUUCCUGGAUGCAUCUUAAGCUAACCAAAAAUGCUAAGAUAAGGAAGUUUGUUCACUAGCGUAUCCAAUCACAUAGAACUUGUGUCCAGAAAACAGAAAAAAGGGCAGCAGUACCAGUGAGGUCUUAGUUUCCCGCAUUCUCUAUUUUGCACUCUGUAACUAACUGAAUAGAAAAGGAGCUAUGAGAUUAGCUGUGAUCCAACGUUCUUUCAUAUUUCAAUUAAGAAAGUAAAUAAUCAAGAUAAUAUGAUCCCAGAUCGUGUGAUUGAGUUAUUAACUCCAAUAAUAAGAUAGUUUCUUUUGUACUGCCGUCGUUUUUGACUUUAUGUAGCUAGGGAAUUAGUCAUUAAUUCUAAGUAUUGCACUCUAUUUGCUUGCAAGCUUCUAAGUUGUAAUAUUUGUAAAUGUGUUUGCAUGCCUGAAAAUGUUUUGAGUAUUGUAAACGCACAAAAAAUUAUAUUAGGAUAGAUUUAGGAUCAAUGUCAAAUGUAGCUUACGAGAAUUGCUGGGAAUCUGUGUUUGGGUUAUUUGUUUAUGUUAUUUUGCUUGUUCAUUAAAAUUUAAAUGCUUUUAUCGUUUUCUUUUAAGAAACUUAUUUGGUCUUAUAUUUUGUGAGUUUGACAUCAAUUGUGUUAUGGUCUAUUGUAGGUCAGCCAAAAUUGCCAACCAAUUUUGAAGAUGAUACAUGGGCUAAAUUGAAGGCUGCUAUUUCAGCUAUUUUCUUGAAGCAGCCACUUUCUUGUGACACUGAAAAGCUUUAUCAGGUGCUUUUCAGUCCCAACUAUCUUGAUAUAUCUAACUGUUUAUCACUUUUCGAGUUGAGACUAGAUACUUCAAGUAAAAUGACUUUAUCUUAUCACAGCGUAAAUCUAUUUGUUUCAUUAUAGGCUGUUGGCGAUCUUUGUUUAUACAAAAUGGGGGCAAAUCUUUAUGAACGCAUGCAGAAAGAAUGUGAAGGGCACAUAUCAGCAAAACUAUCAUCAUUGGUUGGACAAAGUCCUGAUUUGGUGGUCUUUUUGUCUCUGGUUGAGAAAUCUUGGCAAGAUUUUUGUGACCAGAUGUUGAUAAUUCGUAGCAUAGCCUUGCUUCUUGAUCGAACAUAUGUGAAGCAUAACCCAAAUACGUGUUCAGUAUGGGACAUGGGGUUGCAGCUGUUUCGUAAACAUCUAUCUCUGUCUGCAGAAGUCGAACACAAAAUUGUUACUGGUCUCUUAAGAUUAAUUGAGAGAGAGAGGUAUGCUGGUGUUCCUAAAUUUCCAGGAAACUAUGUUUGGUGAACAAAAUAUUUUUUGUUAAAUUUACUAUCCAGUAUUGCUUUUGUACAUUUCCUGAUAUAGUCGACUGUGUUGUCUUUUCAUGGCUUUAAUUUUACCUCUUUUUGCUAAUAUACAUGAUAUAGUCAACUGUGUUGUCUUUUCAUGGCUUUAAUUUUACCUCUUUUAGCUAUUAGCAAGAGUAGCUUGCAGUAAUAAUUUAUCUGGGUAUUUGGACAGACUGAUGCUGAUGCAUAUGAAUCACAUAAAGGAUAUGAAUUGUACUCUUAACAAUUUUCAAAAUGAAGUUGGAUAGUUCACUAACUAGAUUUGGUCCCCUUUUUUCUCCCUAUAUACACAGGAUACAUGGAAUUCUGAAACAUUAUGCAAUAGUCUAUAUGUUAUUCAAACUUUCCAAAUUGAAUGUAUUAAUUUGUCCACUAUAGAUAUUUCUAUAUUUUCUGUCUUGUUCUUGAUUAUUAUCUGAAUUAUAAACACUUCAAACCUGUACAACUUAUUUCCAACUCUAUUUCUGCGUAAUAUGGUAGUCAUCAAGUAAUUUUUACUCUUGUACUAUUAUCUGUUGCUUGUUUUCCUUGGCGAGCAGACUUGGUGAUGCUGUUGAUAGAACUCUACUUAGUCAUCUGUUGAAGAUGUUUACAGCUCUUGGAAUUUACACAGAACGAUUUGAGAAGGCCUUUCUUGAAUGUACUUCUGAGUUUUAUGCUACUGAAGGUGCGAAAUAUAUGCAGCAAUCUGAUGUUCCAGACUACUUGAGACAUGUGGAGGUGAUAUGAGUCUUGCCCCUUUUCCUCUUAUCCUUCUCAUUUAUUACCCUCAAAUUCAGCAACUGAAGUGUGAUCCCAGUAUCAUUUACGUCCCUUAGGGUUUCACUCUAAAAUUAGUCCUUGAAGUUUGUUCUGCAUACUAAUUAUGGGCUCACUAAGCCACCAUCUAGAAGAAAUGCCAAGACAACGUCAUCAUUAUAAUUGAAACGUCGGGUCAAGGUGGGUUUUUUCACAAACAGUAGAUUAAUACUCAAUGUUAUGGGAGUCAAACUUUGAGGAUAAAAUUGUUAAAAUUGGAACUCUCAGGAUGUUAUCUAAAUCAAAUUCAAACUUCAAGGAUUUGAUUUUGUAAUUAACCCAGUUAUUUGACAUUUCUGAUGUUGUACAUGUCUGAAGAUUUGCUGAUGCAUAUUGCAGUCAAGGUUACAAGAAGAACAUGAAAGGUGCAUUCUCUACUUGGAAGCCAACACGAGGAAACCCCUCAUAGCGACUGCUGAAAAACAACUACUAGAACGCCAUACAUCGGCAAUACUUGACAAGGUGGAUUACCCACUACUUUUUGCCUCUCUUAUUAUGUUGCAAAAACUUGUCUUAUUUUCUGAUCGCUUAGCUAACAUUUCACUUUUCUCUUUAGGGUUUCACAAUGCUUAUGGAAGCAAAUCGUGUUACAGACCUUCACAGAAUGUAUACCCUUUUUCAGAGGGUUAAUGCUCUUGAGCUGCUAAGGCAAGCUCUUAGUUCAUACAUACGAGGCACAGGUCAGAGUGUUAUCAUGGAUGAAGAGAAAGACAAAGACUUAGUUCCUUAUCUCUUGGAUUUCAAAGCUUCGCUUGAUAUGAUAUGGGAAGAAAGUUUUGCCAAAAAUGAAGCCUUUUCUAAUACUAUAAAAGAUUCUUUUGAGCAUCUUAUAAAUCUUCGUCAGGUUGGUGUAUGCUGGCUAAUUUGCUUUCUUUGUCACUUCUUAUUUGCCCUGCUUUCUAAUACAAAGAUCUAUUUCAUCGAAGGUUACAUUACAUUCAACUGAUGGAAUCGUCUUUAUCUAGAUUCCUAUCAUUUUAGCGCAUUUGUGGAAGGGAGUCAAUUCUUCGUUAUUCUUAGUUUCUCUUUAUCAAUCCAUGUCCUUCUGUUACAUGAACUAUUUAUGAUUGAGAAAUUUUCUUGUAAAAGUAGCAGUGUAGAUCUAAGGCAACCUGUAGACAAUUUGAGCAGGAGUAGGGGUGUAAAACGGGCCGCCCGGCCCGGCCCGGCCCGGCUACUGUAGCAUCCAUGUCGGGCCUGGCUGGCCCGACCUGGCUCUUCGGGCAUGCUAGGCCUCUUUCCUAGGGCCCGACGGCACGACAUGGCACGGUCCGGCCCGAAAUGGGCCUGGCUCGUGCUAGGCCGAGGAGUGGCCGGUGGGUCGGCACGGCACGGCACGGCCAGUUGGGCCAACACAGCCGGAAACCCCAGGCCCAAGGCAAGUUGCCUUGAGCCUGGGGUCUGAUCUCCUGGGGAGAAGGGCUUGGGCCUCCUCCCCAGGAGAUCUCCUACCAAGGUCUGGACCAAAACAAUUUUUGUCCAUUGGACCAAAAACCCAUCUCAAAAUUUUUUUUUUCAAAAAAUAAUACAUAUAUAUAUAUAAUAUAUAUAUAUAAUAUAUAUAAUAUAUAAAAUAAAUUUAAAUAUUUGUUAUUUAAUUAUUUUUAUAAUUUUUAAAUUUUUUAAUCAAAUACAUUUAAAUAAAAAUAAUUUAUUGUUCAUAUUUUUAGAUUAUAUAUAUUUUAAAAAAAAAAUAAAAUAAAAGGGGCGGCCCGGAGCAUGGCUCAGUGCCUUCCAGCCGAGGGGCUGUUCUGGGCCGCGAGGCUAGGGGAGCUCAGGCCCGCACAGCCAGGCCAGGAUUUGAUGUCCGGCCGGCCAGUCCCUCAGCCCGUUUCGGCACAGAAAAAUGUGGGCCGUGCCGGCCCACAUUGCACCCCUUGGCAGGAGUUACAAAUACUUUGUCUGAGGAAAUUAAGGAUAGGUUUUAAUGUGCUUAUAUGAAUGCUGUUUGAAUACAGAAGAAUGUAUAGGUUUCCCAGAGCAGUUGUUCUUAUGCUCGUGAGGUGGUAAACGAUGAAACAAAGGCUUUCUGAUCAACUCUGUUGUUGUUUUUCUUUUUCUUUCCUUUUUUUGUGGGGGAGGGCACAAGAAAUAUGGGUUAUGAGGAUUAAGGAAAUUGGAAGUGAGAUCAGCAAGUAUAAUUGCAGAAUUUUUUGAAACAUAUUUUCACUUCUACAACCUAUGAAACAUUGUGAUGUUGAAAUGAGUUUACUGUUGAUGUUGUUUCUCGAUAUGAUAGUUUACAAUAACACUUUUGGUGCCCCAAGAUACUUGUUUUAUUGGGCCCUCUUUUCCAUGUCAAAACCUUUAUUUAUAAAUUAAAGCAUCAUUCCAUCCCUCAGGGUUGAGUGCUUGUUUUCUUGUACAAUUAGCUUGAACACUGUACAUUGCUGCGGUUUUCUUAGUUUAGUGUAUCUAUUAAUAUAUCUUCCUUUUGAAUAACAGAAUAGACCUGCGGAACUGAUUGCAAAAUUUGUGGACGAGAAGCUCCGUGCUGGAAAUAAAGGUACAUCUGAAGAAGAGUUGGAGGGUACACUAGACAGAGUUUUGGUAUUAUUCAGAUUUAUCCAAGUAAGCUGCUAAAUAAUUGUGUUACCUUAAUUAGAAUUAUGUGCCACUUCAUAGUACUUGUUCAGACAUUACCGCCAUUCAAUGCUUUUAUGGCAUCCUUGUAGUUCUUUGUUGUACUUAUAUUUUUUUGUUGCACUAUACAGGGAAAGGAUGUAUUUGAGGCAUUUUACAAGAAGGAUCUUGCGAAAAGGCUACUGCUUGGAAAGAGUGCAUCUAUUGAUGCUGAAAAAUCAAUGAUUUCAAAAGUAAUUAUUACGUUCUGAUAUUGAAAUUAUAUUAUAUUUGAUGGGUUUUCAUUAAUAUAACACUAACUUCUCUCUCUCUCUCCAGCUUAAAACUGAGUGUGGGAGUCAGUUCACAAAUAAGCUUGAAGGAAUGUUCAAGGUAUGCAAUCUCCUUUCAAGUGCCUUACUGAGACCAAAGCAUACCUGAAGUUGUAUAUGAUCUGAUUGAUGCAAGUUUUGGCUCCUAUUCUUUAUUAAUUCAUUAUAAGAAUUGUUACUUAAUGGUUUCGAAUAAUACUUGUUCUGGUGUUAUUGUAAUGAAACCUUAAUUUUCCUUUUUGAAACAUUUAAAAUCUGUAAUCGUUUGCUGAUACGCAAUAGUAGGCAAAGUGAGACCACAUCCUAAAUUGCCCUUUGGUGUAUCAGGUCUAAUGUUUCUUCAUUAGACACAUUAGCGCGUCCUAUGUGAGCAGUACCAAGAUAAAAUUCAGAUUAAGAGGAUGGCAGACUUUAGAUUUUUCACUAUAUGCGAUGAAAUAUAUUUUUUACCUUUUUCAUCAAAUUUUUCUCUGCUGCCGGGCUAGGACCGUACUGCUCGAGACACUGAAUCAGCACAUCCUAUGUGAGCAGUACCAACAUAAAAUUCAAUGUAACAGUUUUUAUGUCAUUCAAAUUUCUUCUAGCUGAAGAAAACGACAGAACUAGCAGCACCAGAAUUAACUAAUAUGUUUGCAGGUUAAAUGAGCUUUUUUUUUUUUAAAAAAAAAAUACACUAAACAUUUAUGGUAUUGUCAAGAGCUUCUUGAGUAGUUUUACAUAUUCAACCAUCAAUGCAUUAAUUGAGAUGCAAUACAAGGAUUUUGUUUUCCAGUUUCAGAAAAGAACUAAUGGGGAGUUCUAGUUGGAUUACCUUUUUUUAUUUUCCAAGGGUAGCUACUUUUAAGUUUGUGAGAUCGUUGCUUUAAUCAGACAAAUCAGUGGCGGCUAGACUGCUAACUGAAAAGCAGUAUCUUUACAAUCAUAUUUGAACGUCUAGAUAGUUAUUCACUUAUUUUCACACUGCGUUAGUUUUGCAGAGUAAUCAAGUUUCCUGUAUUUACUAUGUCUCCUGUUUCUUUCAACUAGUACAGGCCACACCACAUCACAUAAUUGGGCUCAUUCACUGUCGGAACCUUCAAUGAUUCGUGCAUUGGGAAUAUAACUCUAUACUUCUUACAGUAACAAUAGGUCACAAUGCAUUACAAUGAAAAUUCCAAAUUGUCUAUGAAGCAAAGUGUCUGUCUAUUGACCUACAUGAAUUUGGCAAGCAUUCGUUGUCAUGACCAUCUUUAUGCGUACUUUUAUUAAUCCUUGCUGCUGUUACUUCAGGACAUUGAAUUAUCGAAAGAAAUAAAUGAUUCCUUUAAACAAUCGUCACAAGCCAGGACAAAACUUCCUACUGGUAUUGAGAUGAGUGUUCACGUGCUUACAACCGGGUGGGUAAUAUCUCGUAAACGUUUUAUUCUUCUAAAGUAAGAACUAGACAAUAAUGGUGUUUUAAUUGUUAAGCUAUUGUUUGUGGUCUCUAUGUUUUGCUUGAUGAUUUUCAGAUAUUGGCCAACAUACCCACCCAUGGAUGUUCGGCUUCCUCAUGAACUAAAUGUGUAUCAGGUUAGAUCAUGAAUGCUAUUUCCGGUGAAUUUUGGAACACUCUUGUCCUUCUUCAGAAUUUUCCAACCUGGUUUUAUUUUCUUUUCUCUGCAAUAGGAUAUCUUCAAAGAGUUCUACUUGAGUAAGUAUAGCGGAAGGCGCUUAAUGUGGCAAAAUUCAUUAGGCCACUGUGUUUUAAAAGCAGAGUUCCCGAAAGGUAAAAAAGAAUUGGCCGUGUCACUGUUCCAGGUGGGUUGUAUUCUAUCAUUAACUUAUUCCCGCUAUCCUUUCUAAUUAUUAAUCUCUUAUAUGUUAUGGUUUAUCAAUACGCCAGACUGUGGUUUUGAUGUUGUUCAACGACGCCCAAAAGCUCAGCUUUCAAGACAUUAAGGACUCAACUGGCAUUGAGGAUAAAGAACUGAGAAGGACUUUACAAUCACUUGCAUGUGGCAAAGUUAGAGUACUCCAAAAGGUAAAUCCCUUGCUUCCGGAUUUGUGAUUUGUUAUUGUUUUAGUAGUUCAAUCGGAUUAUUUUCUGGAUAAUCAGAUACCAAAAGGAAGGGAUGUUGAUGAUGAAGAUUCAUUCGUAUUCAAUGAGGAAUUCAGCGCUCCUCUGUAUCGCAUUAAGGUAUGUUUACUCUGUUUAGAUGUAAUGUUGGUAUUUUCUAGUUCAAACCUGGAAAUAACAUGGUUUAUUUUGUUAUCAGGUAAAUGCAAUUCAGAUGAAAGAGACAGUGGAAGAAAACACAAGCACCACCGAAAGAGUCUUCCAGGAUCGUCAGUAUCAGGUUUGUGAGAAAUGCAUGAACUGGCAAAACAUUUACCGGCCAAAUUCACCAUUUCUAUGUACUCUUUAAUUUAUGCAUGAUUAAUACCGAGUCUGACAAGAAUUUUUUUAUUUUUUUUGCUUGGGCGAUCUUUUGGACUUGAGGAUGCUAUGUUCACAGAAGUCACCUUGGUUUUAUUUGGAAUUGAUAAUCCAGAGAGUUGGUUUUUACAUGCAUUCAGAGCUCCCCAUCAAAAUGAUAUGGACGAACUUCAAUUUUGUAGAAAGAGAAAAGAAAUAAGAUUGUCAGAGAAAUUUACUUUGUCAUAUUUUGUAUAAUUUUGAUAUCUGGGAUUAUUUUCCCCUCUUUUUUUGUUAAUUUGCAAGCAGAAAUAUCAGAAAUAUUACUAAAAGGAGUAGAUGUUUUUGUUGUAUCUACUGCAAAAUGUGAAAGAUGCAACAGAGAAAAUAAUAUUUGCCUGCUUCUCUAUGAACAUUAGUAACUAAAAUUUCUGAUUACAGUAAAUGAAAUAAUGUAGGUGUCCUAAUAUUUAGACACAAAUUAGCUGGCCCCAGUAGGAACUUAAGAUAAUUGCAUUUUUAAGUUUCUUAUUCUUUGCCGUUAUUUCUGGUUCAUUUGCAGGUUGAUGCGGCCAUUGUUCGUAUCAUGAAGACAAGAAAAGUUCUAAGCCACACGCUUUUGAUAACCGAGCUAUUUCAGCAGGUAAUGUGCAAAUUAGUCUGCUCAUAUUUUCCCCUCUUCUCUGUUGUCUUCUGCAGGAUUCAUAUCUUGCAUUUUCUCUUUCUUAGCUCAAAUUUCCAAUAAAGCCAGCGGACUUGAAGAAAAGAAUAGAGAGCCUAAUCGACCGAGAGUACCUGGAGCGGGAUAAAAAUAAUCCUCAGAUCUACAACUAUCUUGCUUGAUUACUUGCCUGUUGUGCCUCUUAUUAUAUAUCUUUUUUCCGUGCAAAUUAGCGACUGCGUCGCCUGCUUUAAAAUCUCUGCAUGGGGGGCUGGUUUAGUCAACCUUUUGUUUCCAAAUGUACAGGGAGAUGCGGCGUUUGUUUCGGUCUUUUUUUGUCCCUGUGAUCAUCAACAUACUAGUGUAAAAUAUCAGUUCCACUUUUUUUUCUUUUUUCUUUUUUCCUUUUUUCCUUUUUUCAGAAAAAUUCGUCAUGGAACUACAAAACAACAUUGCUCACAAAGGAAUGAGGUCUUUAAUCUAAGUUAUUCUUCUCGUAGUAUCUAAUGUGCAAGUCUCUGCUGUUGAUGAAGAUGAAAAUAAGUGCUUUUCUCAUUCUUCUGUAUGGAUUAACCAUUAGGUUUAUAGCUUUUUUUCUGUUUUGCUUCAUUCAACGAAGUUAACAAGCAUAUCAUGCCCUGUAAAAGGACUUUUUCAUUUGAUGAAACUGCAUUUACUGGUCGGAAAGUAGGAACUAUAAAAUAACUAUUUUACUCCAAGAGAAAGAUGUUUUAUAUUUUUUGCAUUAAAAGGGAAUCAAGAUUGUAAAAUUGUGUGGGUUCUAUUUAGAAAUUUUCAAAUCAUAUGCAGAAUUCUCAAAUAAUGUAUAAAGUUGUCAAUGAACUAAUAGUUCUGACUGUCAUAUGCAUUCUCGAAAUGGCUGUUGAAAUCUCCAAACUGCAUAAAAUGAAAUCCAAAAUUUACAUAAAUUGUUUCAAAUCCGGGGCCAAAACUAGGGCCAAACAACAGCCUACUCGUCAUCGUGUUCCUAUCUUGUAUUCUAUGGCUCCUCGAUCUCCAAAUUGCAAUAAGUAGCCCAAUAAAAGAGCAGGGAAAAAAAAAAACACACACAUACAAUAGUGACACCGAUACAAUUUUUAUAAUAAUAAAAUCCAAAGGAGGCAGGGUAAUAGAUGAUUCGAGCCGCAACCCCGACCCUCUUCCACCGAUCUCCCCCUCCACCUCCCCUUCCUUCCUCAUCUACCCUCUCCGUCUCCCUCGCCAUGGCCACGCACGACAAAACCCGCACGCCGCCGCCGGCAUCGACCUCCUCCGCCGAGCCGGAGCGGAGCGGAGGCGGGAGCGGGGCGCCGCGGCGCGUGUGGUGUGCGGCGGCGGCGUGAUCGGGGCGUGCACGGCGUACUUCCUCUCCCAGAAGGCGGCGCCGAGGUCGCGGUGACGGUGGUGGAGCGCUCCUCCCCCGCCUGCGGCCGCGUCCGGCAAGGCCGGGGGCUUCCUCGCCCUCGACUCGGUGCGACUCCGCCCCUUCCGCCUCCUGCGCCGCCUCCGCCCCUCACACCGCUCCCUCUCCUGCCUCCCGACGGCCCCUCUCCUACGGCUACCCCCCUCCACACCUCUCCCUCCCCCUCCUCUCCCCCUGCCCUCCUCGCCCCUCCCCCUCCCCUCACUGUUUUUCUCCCCUCCUGGAUAGACGGCGCCGCCGCCGCGGGCCCCCCGCGGACGCUCGGGACGCCGGAGACCACGGCGCAGGUGCACCCGCGCCUCUUCACCGCCGCGCUCCUCGCCGCGUCCGGGGCCGAGGUCGUCGUCGCCGAGGCCGAGCGCGUCGUGGUGGCGGACGAGGGCCGCGCCGUGGGCGUCGCCCUCCGCGGGAGGGACGACCCCAUCCCCGCCGACGCCGUGGUGCUCGCUCUCGGGCCUUGGACGGCGCGCCUGGGGCUCGUCGCCUCGCUCUUCGACGUGUCCGGGAUCAAGGCGCACAGCAUCGUGCUGCGCCCCAAGGAUCCCUCCGCCGUUACCCCGCACGCGCUCUUCCUCAGCUACCGCCCGGAGCCCGGCGCCAAGCUCCUGGACCCCGAGGUUUACCCUCGACCCACAGGUAAUGAAUCAGUGGCCUUUUGCAGUAUAAUUACUGGUAGUUAAAAGCCGUUUGGAAGUAGCGUUUCCUGGAUGUCAGUGCAUGCUCAAGUAAAAGUACAAUGAUAUUUAUAUUUAUAUUUGCUCUUUGGUCGGUUACAUUUAGAUUACUGUUUAUUUUUUAAUAAUAAACGAUGAGUGAAAUGAUAAUUUUGUCAUCACAAAUAUGUCUCUUUAAAAAACUUAACUGUUAGAAUUAUGCAGAAAUAUCCGUCUAAAAAUUUUCAACAAUCAUCUUCUUUCUUCUACCAUCACAAAUAAUAUAAGAGCAGUAAAAAUGUCAAUUUAUCUUCUUUACUAAUUUGGAUUAAAUAUUUUACCUAUGGUUAACUAUAUUUUUCUAACAGAUCCUAAUAGUAGGGAUAUAUUUGAACAACGUUAGGAGCUUUGAAAGAAUAAAUAGGAAAGUUGAACUUUGUAGGAAUAUAUCUGCUAUUCGAUAUGUUUAUAAAGAGUUGUAUGCAAUUAAUCCUUUUAACUUCCCAUCAAAACGAAAACUAAGUAUAUUUUUAUUUGUAAAACGCCGGGUUGUUUGUUUCUUUGUUCCGAUACUAGAGAAAUUGCUUCGCAGGAGAGCUAAAGAUGUUGAAAUUACUGUGUUGAUUGCAGUUUUUAGUUGAGAAUGUAAAAAUCAUGUGAAGUUAGACCAUUACUAGUGAGGACAGUUAAGAAAAUUCAGUAACUAAACUCUUAUUUUCGAACAUUAUGCUUAAUAUGCUAUGUGAUCCUCUCAAUUUAACAUAUGUCAUACUAGCAAUGAGAACUAAAUAUGGGAAUCAUACCAUACACUUGAGAGUCCCUGAAAUUCACAACAGGAGAAGUGUACAUUUGCGGGAUGUCGAAGGACGCAGAGGUCCCUGACAACCCUGAGGAGAUCGUCGGGGAGAGUGAGUCGAUCGAGAUGCUACACAAGAUAGCGGGGAUGGUUUCGAGCCAUCUAAAGAAGGGGGAGACCGCGGAGGUGGUCGCCGAGCAGGCCUGCUUCCUGCCCUGCACUGAAGACGGGUUGCCAGUCAUCGGCGAGAUCCCGGGCGUGAAGAACUGCUACGUCGCGACGGGGCACAGCUGCUGGGGCAUUCUCAAUGGCCCCGCGACCGGAGCCGCCUUGGCGGAGCUCAUAUUGGAAGGGCGAUCCACCACCGUCGAUCUCAAGUCAUUCAGUCCUUCCAGAUUCCUAAGGAAAAAAAGAACCAUUGUGUGACAAAAAUUGUAUGAAUUUGAAGGGUUUGAUCGGCUUGCUUGAUGGUAUCAAGUACAUGUGUUCGUUUGAUGUAAUAUAUUUUGAUUAGUAAUUGAGGAUAAAAUGGUUGUUUAUGUUAGAUCUCUACAUCUUUACCAUGUUUAUGUUCAACCCUGACGUGUUACAACCAAUAAUAUGCUGCUGAUGUAGUUUUUGUUAUUGUGUAUUUUUUUUUUGGUUUUUACUUUUUGCUUUUUAAAGCAUAUUUGAUCCAAAAGCAUGAGAACUCAAGGUACUGUAGAAACAAAUCUCAUUUAAAUUUUGAAUAAUAACUUUUUCUACUGGUAAUUUGAAAACUAUUUAAUAUUUUGUACAAUAAAAAUUUGAAACGAACAUAGGGGGUGUUUGGCCUAGUUUUUAAAAAACGUUUUUGAGUUGAAAAGUGAUUUUCGGCUCAAUAAAAAGUUUGGCAACCUCACUUUUAAAAUAUGAUUUUAUUUUUUAGAAUCAGAAAACUGAUUUUGAAGGCUCAUAAUCAUAAGUAGAAAAAAACUGCUUCUCAAAAUUUGAUUCUGAUUUUGGACUCAAACUUCAAAUUUUUAUUUUAAUUUUAAAUUCAAUAUUUAAAUUUAAUUUUAAUUUUAAAUUUUAAUUUCCAGAUUUAUUUUUGAAUUUUUAAAUUUUAACUUUCAAAUUUUAAAUUGUGUAAAAUAGAUUUGAAACUUUAAAUUUUAAAUUUUAAAUUUUAAUUUUAAAUUUCAAAUCUCAAAUUUCAAAUUCUCAGAUAAUUCAAAUUAAUUGACAUUUCAGAUUUUAAAAUUUAAAUUUAAAUUUUUAAAAUUUUAAAUUAUAAUUUUAAUCUUCAAAUUAUAAGCUUCAAUUUUUUAAAAUUUAAAUUUAAAUUUUAAAUAUUCAAAUUUUAAAUUUCAUAAUUAUUUAAUUUUUAAUUUUAAAUUUAUAUUAUUUAAACUUUGAAAUUUAAAAUUUAAAUAUAUUUUUAAAUUUUAAUUUAUAUUUUAAAUUUCAUAAUUAUUUUAAAUUUUAAAUUUUUAUUUAAACUUUGAAAUUUAAAAUUUAAAUAUAUUUUUAAAUUUAAAUUUCAUAAUUAUUUUAAUUUUAAAUUUUAAUUUUAAAUUUAAAUUUUAAAUUUAAAUUUUAAAAUUUUAAAUUUUAAAUUUUAAAUUUUAAAUUAAAUAUUUUUAAAUAAUAAUUAUUUUAUAUUUAAAUUUCAUUAUAUUUAUAUUUUUUUAAUUUAAAUUUAUUUUAAAUUUUAAAUUCUAAAUUUAAAAUUUAGAUUUAAAUUUUAAAUUUUAAAUUUAAUUUAAAAUUUAAUUUUAAUUUAAUUUAUAUAUUUUUAAAUAUACUAAAAUUUUAUAUUUGAAUUUCAUAUUAUAUACAUUUUUUAAUUAUAUUUAUAUUUAAAAAUUUUAAAUUUCAUAAUUAUUUUAAAUUUUAAAAUUUCAAAUUUAAAAUUUGAAAUAUUAAAAUAUCAAAUUUAAAAUUUUGUACAAUUUUGAAAUUUAAAAAAUUUUAAUUUUAAUUCAAAUUUAAAUUUAGAUUUUAAAUUAUUUUAAAAUAAAAUUUAAUAAAAAUAUUAAUUCAUGCAAACAUCAAAAAAAAUUUACCAAACAGUUUUUCAAAAUAACUUCAGAAAAAUCAUUUUUAUCUAAACUCAGCGAAACGCUUUACAGCUUUUAACCAAAAUCACUUUUCCAAAUCAAAAUCACUUUUUCAGCCAUCACUUUUUUAAAAGUUAGGCAAGACAGGCCCUUAUUCUUCAACUUUGGGACGCAUUUACUUGUGUGCAAACAGCAAUUUCGCAUGGCACGAGCCGCUUCUUCGCCGCGUGAGACAGUGCGUCGAGUCACUCGCGGUCGAACCUGAACCGGCCGGUUCAAUUACCCAGUCGACUCGGCUCAUCGAACCGGUCUGGGUUCAUUAUAUUUCGAUAGAGAUAGAGAAUUACGGUAGAGAAGGGUGAGGAUUGAGUUACAAAAGAGAGAGAGAGAGAGAGAGAGAGAGAGAGAGAGAGAAGGGAUGGAGGUUAGAAGUAGAUAAGGGGAAAAAGGGGUUGGGGAAGAGAAGAGAAAUAGUGGAGAAGAAGAGGAUAAUUGGGGAAGAAGAUAGAUGUUAAUUCAUUUCAUUCAUGUCCCUAACUUGCAUUACAUUUUGGUAUAUAUAGUCUCAACAACUUGUACUGAAUUGAAAUAAAACUAUCCUACGAGGGCUUAACAGCAAUUUUGUUAAAAAAAAAAGGGAGCUGUGGGCCUUCUGGGUUGAAUUCAGACGGUUUCUGGGCCUCGUCUGGGCUUGGCAGGUCCAAAGCUCUCUGGUAGCGGUAAGUGGAUGUCAGUUUCCUUCUUAAUCGCAUUAUCCUCCGCCCGGCGGAUAUCGGGUCCGCCUUUUACACCCGAUCCAGGAACUGGGUCGCCCGAUCCACUAGUAAAUGGUAAGCGGGCGCCGGUUCGUUCUUCUCCACACCAUCCGCAACCCGGCGGAUAGUGGGAUCGCCUUUUCCCCCCGAUCCGGGGUUCGCAGCUCCGACCCGCCAGCUCUCUUCUUCGCCUCCAAAUACCAAGAUCGGUCGGACCUCCUCCUCCAACCUCGAUCCUCCCAUUCCCCUUCAGCUCCGACGAUGCCCUAGCCCGUCGCCUCGCCGGAGUUCCGCCGGACCGCCUCUCGCCAGACUUCUCCGUCAAGCUCGCCUUCCUCAACCUGCUGCCGCCGCUUAUCUCGCCUAUAUUUUUUGUAAAGCUGCCAUUUUUACUGCCUCCCCUGUUAAUUACUAUUGCUUAUUCUCCCAGGUUGUUACAUUUAGUCGCUGGAUCUAGGAUCGGUAAUUGCUUUACUCAAUUCUUUUUUUUUAUUAUUUUGGUAAUUUAGUAGAUCUGAUCAGUGUUUCAGUUUCUUCUUCUUUCUUUGUUGUUCUUACAUCGUUGCUCUCUUGAAUUAUACGCAGUUUGAGCACGUUUUUGCUUGAAUAAUCUUGUAAUUUUCGUUUUCUUAUCAGAUUGAGCGAAUUGGUUUUGAAUUCCGGCUCUAAGAUUGUUUAUGUAGAUGAAAAGGUUUGGUUAUCGUUGGGAGUGUUCUUAGACAUUAGAUCGCAAGCACAUUCCUCCUAAAAUAGAAGGCGAGGAUUCCAGUUAAUUUAUAUAUUAUAAGAUGGAUCCGCUGAAAACUUACUUGGGGAGGCUGGUAUUAGAAGAACUAACUCCGGUGGUCAUGGUUCUCACAACUCCUCUUGUCGAAGAUUCUUGCCGCAAGAACGGGCUCGGUUUCGUCGACAUGCUCCUCCCAUUCUCUGUUUUCAAGAAAUUUGAUGGUUCGGAGAUUCUUUCGUAUUCUUUUUGAAUCUUUGUGAAUUAGCAUAUUCUUGCUUCUUUAUGAAUCGUUGUGAAUUAGCAUAUUCUUGCUAUUAGCUUGAAUUGAUAAUUUUCUUGUUUGUGUUCUCUUUGUGUAGUGCCUGUUCGUACCGUAAAUGACCAACCUUAUAGGUUACAGAUGUUCAAGCUACGAAUGGUUUAUGCUUCUGAUGUGCGGCAACCAAACUACGAGGUGAAGUUGACGUUGAUAGCUAGUUUUUUUUUUCGGUAAUUGUAUGCCUAUCAACUAGUUCCUUCUGCUAAUUUGUUAUUUCUAUGUAAUCUUUUGGAUAGAAAGACGAAUGAUCCUUUCAAGCUUCUAGCUGUUUCUCAGAGUGUUGAUUUUUUGUUUUUUUUUUUACUUGUGUCUCAGAGUGUAAAAAUUUAGAGGAGUAUUGGUAAUCUUUUUCCUUAUUAAUGGUUUUGAUUUUGAACUAUUUAGUGCUGUUUCCAUUGAAUGAGAUCAAAGCUGAGAUAAGCUAAGAUGGACUUUAUGAUGUCUAUAGUGUCAGUGGAAUCAUAAUGCCUUUCAACCUGACUCAAAAAUGAGAAAGUAUCCUAAUAUCCAAUAUCUUGCCCUAAUGCUGCCUUUUUCACCUCUCAUGAUAUAGAAACCCUAGUUGCUAAUUGGAGGCAUUGGGCAGUCUUUGGCCACUCGGUUGCCCACAUAUAAUCUCUUGAAGUGUUCCUCAGUGCUAUUAUGUUUAAACUAUCCCUAUUCACCUUCACUCUUUUUGAGUAUCUGAUUACAUAUUAGGAGCAUUGCUGAUAAAUUGAAAAUAAAAUGGCCCACAUAAUUUUGUAUGAGUUAUUGCUUGUGAAUUUGAUAUUAUUCCUAAGCUGGCUGUAUGGCAGCUUGUACGACUGAUCACUUAUUUCGAAACAGGCUGCAAAAGAGCAUUUGAAGCAGGUUGUUCAUGACUCUGGUGAAAAGGCUCUUUCUGAUUUGCUUUCCGACCCUCCACAACUUGAAACUGUACUUAGCAGUGAGAUGCCGCUCUUCUGGCAAAUUUGACCUUCUGUUGUUCAGCUUUUACGUAUUUUGUAUUAACUGUCUUCUAAAAAUUAAAUCAACAGUGAUACUUUUAUGUAUGUUGUGUUAAGUAUCUUCUAAAAUUAAAUUAAUGGUAAAAGGGAAAAUGGACUGCCUGGCUUAAAAGCAUUUUUGACUUGAAUUUUUAUCUUUCUGUAGUUGCUGCAGCUGUUCUUAUGGGAAUAACUUUGUUACUACUAGACAACCUUACAUGAUCUAGCAAACUAUGUUUGUUUUUGUAUUGGACUAGUCAAGAAUAGUGAGCAAGAUGCAACUAGUUCAUCUUACCUUUGUUUUUAAGUGACAAAAUUUUAAUGUUGAGCGAAUAUACAUUAAUUAGUAUGUUAGGUGAUUUGUUGAAUUGUACAACAAGUGAUCUGAUAUUAAACAGGAUUAGAAAACUUGAGAUGGCUGUACGAUGGGGACAUAUUUGGAAGAUAUGAUGAGGAAUCUUUUCAGUGUCAAAAGCUGAUUUCAAAAGUAAGAAAAAAACGUUGUUUCUUUAUGGCUGUGUGAGGCCAUGAAAUUUGUGUAUUGUGCAAAAAGCAACAGUCUGUUGCUUCUUAAAAUGUUGCCCCACUGCACAAAUUCUAUCAAUCCAUACUUAAUCCCGCCCCAUGUGAGAUCAAAGAUCCAUAUAAGACAUGGUUUCUGAUCUCAUUUUUCCCAGAGUAUCCACAAACUAGGCUAAAAUCUUCUUAAAUCUUCAUGAAUAAAAAAAAAGAGGAUUAGGUAUCCUUGUAUCUUCACAUAAUGCAUGUAUCUGUGGCAAAGUGUUGCAUUUAAAGGUGCAUCUGUAUAUUUAUCCAUGAGCCUUGGAAUGGCACCUUUGAUCCGUAUUUCCUCUCUUUAAUUUAGGUUAAUUUUGUGAAAAAUAACCAGUAAGGUGUUAGAUCUUUGCUAAUAAUGGAUUCCUUAUACCACAUAACUGGCGCUGACUAAUACUUUUUGCAGAUUCAGAAUCUGAUUUAUGCCCACAAUGGAUUCAAACAUUCAAUAAAGAACUUAUACGGACUCUGUCCUUUUCGGAGCAUGAGACUUUUGACCACCCUGUUGCAUGUAAGCUUUGUUUCUAUGGAAAGUGUCCUUAAAUAGAGAAUAGCUUAUUGUUAUUGAACAUCAUGAUAGCUUUUGAUUUGUGCUGAGUUCAUGCACUUGAAUUGUCCUACAGGCCUUUUAGUUGUUUCAUCGAAGGAUGAACAGCCCAUCAAUAAAUUUGUCGAUAUUUUCAACACAAAUCAGUUGCCUUCUCUUCUCAAUGAUGGUCUCAUGGAUCCAAAGAUAUUGAAGCACUAUGUUCUUCUGCAUGAUAAUCAAGAUAGCUCACCAGAGAAGUACUUUUCUUUGCCUUCCAUCAUUUUCUGUAUUGUAUUUGAUCUUUGCCAUCUGAAUACUGCAAUAGACUAGAUGAGCUCAUGAGAGCAUAGAAUUUCCAGGUAUGCCUUAUCUGAGACAUCGAAUCAAUCUCCAUGUUUAUGUACUUUUCUUGGUAAAAGAAAAUUAUAAGCCGUUUCAAAUACUGUGCUAGAAUGGCAUGCCACAGUAUUUAUUGGAAUACAAUGAUCAGGAAAAGACAAUUAGUUGGACCUAAUUAUCUACGCUGAGCCUUCUCUCUUUCUAAGGAUAAGAUCUGAAGCUUCUGUGAUUGAUCCUUAACCAGCAGUGUGGUAGAUGAAAGAAUCAUGCAAAGGAGCAAAUUAGAUCAAGAAUAUGAAGUGAAAUAGAAGAAAGGAAGCAGAGGUUGAACUGAAUGGUGCUGGUUGAUGAUUUGUCAGCAUAUCACUUAGACAUGUUUCUUUCCUGUCAUUGGCUGUAGGCUGCUACGUCAAUUUAGUGUAGCUUGUACCUCUAUGUAAUAACAACUAACCAAUAGCUAGCUAUUGUUCCAACUGACUGCUUGACGGGGCUAAUGAUUGGCUUGUCUCCUUUUGAGAUACUUCUAAAUUUUGUCGAGAGAAGAAAUUUCUAGUUUUUCUGUUUAAAUAUGUUGAGGGUUAGUGAAUUGUCUGAAUUACUCUAAUGUUUUUUUCUGAUUUACUUUGUCAUUACUUCUUUCCGUCUAUGGGUUUAAAAUUGAAGAUUUACUUUAUCUGAAAAGAAAAAAAAUGAAAAAAAAGUAUAAUGAAGACAACAACGUGCAUUGGUGCGUCGGACGGAAGACAUGAAGAAGAGGUGGUGCCAUGAUAUAGAUUAUAGAUGCUAUCAAUUAGUUUUGACCUUCUAGCCAUUACAGGGUAUAAAUUGCAAAUUCACAGAUCAAUAUAGUUAUUUUGUGGAGUUUAUGAACUUAUACCAGGUUUUUUAUGCUUAUGUGUCAUCUAUAUAUUUAUGUAAAUAAAUUUCAGAAAUUUACAUCAUCAAGGGAAAAAGUGGAGGUUCAGUGAAGAAGAUGGUCCAUAAUUGGUCAUCACUUUAAUUUUUCAAUCUUUUGCUGAUAUUAUUUCUCAGUUUCUAUGCAAGUCUGAAUUGCCUUUUGUUCUCUGAAGAUUGAUUAUAAUAGUUUCAUUUCUUUUUUUUUCUACUAAAGGGCAACCCACAUUUUAGCAGAAAUGAGGAACACUUUCGGUCCAAAUGACUGUAAAUUGUUGUGCAUUAAUUCUGCCACAGAAGAUGUUAAUAACAAGGGAUUUUCAUCAGUACCUUAUGUAAGUUGACAAUUGAGGAAACGAGUUAAUCCUUUUGAUUUCUAAAAGUGCUAAAAGUGUUUAGUAAAUAUAUUGUAUAUUUACAUCUCAAUUCUGUACAGAAAACUCAUGGCUUCCUUGGAGAAGACAUUGCCCGGUGCCUUAACUUGGAAGAUCUCAAAUCGGUGAGCGUUCAUCAACCAUCAUUAUAGAUGGUGGGAUGGUACUAACUUUUUUAAUCUAAAUAGUGCUAUAUUAUUGAUAAGCAAGAGAGAGAACUAUUUUUUACUUUCCAAAACACCCUUUUGGCCUUGUACACAAGAGUGACGAUUAAUUUUGUUUUAAUGCGCAUCAAGGAUUUAAGUGUCGUGGUAUGGGACUGUGCUUAGAACUUGUUGGCAUGGUACGACAUAGUGUCGUGCCGUGCCGUGCCAUGCCGAUGUGUGCCUGUCACAAAAAUACCUAUGUGCCGACGCACUAUGACAUGAAAUAUUUAUUUUCUUUGGCACCGAUAUAUUCUAAUUGCUUAUUUUAUAUCUUUAUCAAAUAUUUUGCUCUUUAUAAGAUAAUUACUCACUAUAUUCAAAGAAAAAAGGAUGUUGAGCCGUGCCAUCAGCUUGGUGGUCUUAUAGUGCAGAUAUCUUGUCAGUAUGGUAUGGUAUGGUAUGAUAUGGUGGGCACAGCCCAUGCUGAUGGGCACAUAAAACCUUGAUGCACGUACAUGUGCCUUUACUAGAUAAGCCACUUAUUUUCUCUAAUGAUUAUUUGAUUAGAUAAAGGACUUCAUGCAAGAUCUUAAUUCUAACCAUAUCAUCCCAUUUAUGGAGCAGAAGAUACGCAUCCUCAAUCAGCAGGUAUGUGCUUUCAUUACUCCCUAUUGGUGUAUGCCAGUUGCCAACUUUCUAAAUUCUCUUGGUUUUCUUUAGGUAGCUACAACCAGGAAAGGUUUUAGAAACCAAAUAAAGAACUUGUGGUGGCGAAAAGGAAAAGAUGAUUUGCCUGAAGACCCUAGUGGUUCUACGUAAGAGAUCUAUUGCUGGCAAUAUUGGAUUUACAUUUUCUUUUAACUCCAAAUUUUAUAUACAUUACUGUCUUAAAUUCUUCUUUUUCCCUAUUCCUUCUAACAGGUAUACAUUUAGCUCAAUAGAGACCCAGAUUAGAAUAUUGGGUGAUUAUGCCUUCAUACUGCAAGACUAUGAACUUGCUUUGUCAAAUUACCGGUUACUAUCCACAGACUACAAGCUCGAUAAAGCUUGGAAACGCUAUGCUGGCGUGCAGGUACCUGACUUGAUAAUUCUUUUACAUUAAGAAUACUUUGAAUAUGUUACUGUGGGACAAAACAAACUUAAAAGCAAAUGACAUAUCUCGGGUUGCUAGGGGUUGGCUUAUUUCUUGGGUAAAUGGGACCCUAGACUGGUUUUGUAAGCAAAUUUAGGACGUGACCUGAGGUAGAUCCAACAGCUACUGGUUGUUGGAUAAAUACUGCAUACCUGAUUUUUGCAUAGGGGUGGAACUGGGCCGGGCUUGGGUCGGGUAUUACUAUGCCCAAGCCCGGCCCAAAAAAAAUGUUGGGCUUCGGGUCGGGCUUUUACCCAAUUUUUUUUUAAAAUUGAGGCCCGGCCCAGGCCCAAACCCAAUGCCCAAUACCCAUCGGGCUUUGUGGAGGCCCAUUUUAUGCAUCUAUCAUAUAAUAUAUGAAUACUUUUAUUUGUAUAAAAUUAAAAUAAAAUACCUAUUUUUAGUUUUACCACAUCAAAGAAAUUAAUAUCUAAGAUCAAAUAUAUCAUAAUAUAGAACUAAAUAUUUUGUUAAUAUAUAAUAUAUCCUCAUAUAUAUAAGUACAUAUCAUUAAUAACAAUAUAUACUAUAUCAUUUAUUUCUUUUAAUAGAUAAAUAAUAUAUAUAAUUAAAUAUUUUAUUUUGAUAAUUAAUAUAUCGGGCUUUUGGGUCGGGCUCGGGUCGGGCUUGGACAUGCCCAAAUAGGCCCAAAAUUUUUUCGGGCCUAAAUUUUUAAACCCGGCCCGAACCCAAAGUUGUAUUUUUAAUAUCCAAAGCCCGGCCCAAACAUGGCCCAUCGGGCCGGGCCUUGUUUAGGCCCGGGCCCAGUUCCACCCCUGUUUGCAUGACUACCAGCCUUUUACUCUUUAAAGUCUGUUUUGAUGAGCAGGAUUAAGGUACUGUACAUUCUUAUGCUUUCUUGUUUGUUUCUGUUUAUAAGCACUUCCCUAUUGUCUGUAAUACUAUAGGAGCUUGAACACUUAUUCCUCACUUGUUGGUAAUCUAAUUAAUUCAGUUUUGAAUUGCCUUGUUACUUCUUUGUACUAAUCUCACAGGAAAUGAGUGGACUUUGUUACUUCAUGCUGGAUCAAUCAAGAAAGGAAGCAGAGUACUGCAUGGAAAAUGCUUUCAGUACAUAUUUGGUAUAUACCUCUUUUAGCUCAGUAGAAGUGGCUUUACAUGUUUGUUAAUUUGGGAAAUAUGUUUAGAAAUUGAGAGCAGCUGAGUAGGAGAAAAGGGCAGUAGUUUAUUAUGUAUUAUUUUGUUUUAUUUCCUUUCUUUUUCCUUUUUACAACCUUUUACUGAUGUAUUAAGACCAAGUUCUCGUUGCUUGUCUUUUAUUACACUUCUCAUUUUGCCAAUGUAACUAAAUUGCCUUUUUCAUCCACUUAGAUAACGAUUGAAAAACUAUGUGCAGAGAGUUGGUUCAUCAGGUCAGAGAUAUGCUAGCAGAUGUGGCCUCUGGUGGGCAGAGAUGCUCAAGGCUAGGGCACAAUAUAGGGAGGCAUCCGGUGUUUAUUUCCGUAUUUCGAUCGAGGUAAUUAUAUUAUUUAGAAAGUAUGAUUGGAUGAUCCUUUUUUGUUUGCCAUUGAUCAACCGUUGUUCUUCAGGAACCUUCUUUGCAUGCUGCCGUAAUGCUUGAGCAAGCAGCAGGCUGCUAUUUGUUAUCCAAACCACCUCUAUUGCGGAAGUAUGGGUUCCAUCUCAUUCUAGCUGGCAAUCGCUAUUAUAUCUCUGAUCAGGUGUCUAAUUUUUCUUGCAUAUUUCUCUUAGUAAUUCACAAUGUUAUGAAUGAUAGACAAACUUGUCGUAGAUUUGCCCAUCCUAAGCAUUCUUUGUGUGAUGUGCAGAUAAAACAUGCUAUUCGAGCGUAUAGAAAUGCUCUCUUUGUGUACAGCGAAAAUGCCUGGAGUUACAUAAAUGAUCAUGUUCAUUUUAAUGUCGGAAGGUAUCCUAUCAGUUUUAAAUUUGUAUUUAUCGUAUUUCUGGUUUUCCUUUCAGUUUUACUUUAUUUUCUUGCAUUGUUCAGGUGGUACGGAUUUCUUGGGAUGUUUGAUGUGGCAAUCAACCACAUGUUAGAGGUUCUGGCAUGUGGUCAUCAGUCAUUGGCAACACAAAGCACUUUCCUUAAUGACUUCUUCCAUUUUGUUCAGGUAGUUUAUGAAUAUAUACCCUCCUUUUUUUGUUUUGGUACAGUUUACCUAUUAUACUGACAGUCUGUGACUUUGAGUACCUCAGAGACUGGGAAAGAGUUUUGAUGUAUGUAAGCUUCAACUUCCUGUUAUCAACUUAUUUUCGCUCAAAAUUGUCUAUGAAGAUCAUCGGACUUAUGCAUCUACUGCUGAUGUAAGUUGAUCCAUACUCUACUGCUAUCCUGCUUCUUUUCCUUUUCUUUAUGUUUUAUCCUUUGGAGAUGUCUGAAGAAGUUUUCCAGUUGUUAUUAUUGGUCAUUUAUGUUUAUCAUCAUUGCUUGUUCUUAGGUCUUAUAUAUGAUCUUUUUUUCACAAGUUAUUCUUGAAAUUCAUCCUCAAAGACUUCGAGCCAAGGAUAUUUUCUCAGUUUGUACUGAAGUCUAGUAUUUGCUUUUCAUCACUGAAGUCUAGUGUGCAGUUGAAAAGCACACACAUUAGAUUAUCUAUACAGCAAAACCAUCAUAUAGUAUUUCAAUAUAAUAUCUUUCUCAACUACAGGUAUAGAGAGACUAGCAACUGUUUGAAUCUUUAAAUACACUUUGGCUACAAAUUAAUAUCAAUGGAAAUAUUACUUUUAUUGCAUUUUGUUGCUUCUGUAUAAACCUAUGAUCCUUCUGUACACAUGUUCUGGAUACAGAGAAAGUAACAAGUAUCAGUGUUAAUCUUAACAUUCCAUAGCUUGCAUAUUCUGGGAUGUCUAGAAUUAAGCAUUUGCUUGCUGUUGACUUUUCUUUUAAGCAGGUUGAUGUCACCGAGAGUUUGUGGCAAGCCUUGGAAGAAGAAAUGGUUCCAGUGUCUACUGUCAGGGCCAACUGGCUUGAUUCACAACCAAAAUCCUCCUCCAGAAAAGACGAUGACUUUUCUAUUUGUGUGGCUGGAGGUGGGGUUCAGUAGCUUUCUCAACUGUCCCUUUAAUAGAAAAAUGUAUAAUACUGUUUCCUCUGCAACUUCAUUUGUUGUUAGCCACAAUGUAUCGGUAACCCAAAAGCAUCCUUUCUUAAAAUAGUAAUAUUAGCUUUCUUAUUAAAUUAAGGGUAAACUAGGAAAAGUAGGCACAUUAAAAUGAUUUCUUAUCUCUCUUAUUAUCCAAAUAGAAAUUUCAUUUAAUUGAAUUCAAUGGUUUUUUUCUUUUGGGCUGAAAUCAAUUGAAGUCUAUUCAAAUUUGGGUGAAAUCCCAAGUGUUACUUCAAAGGAGUCCGGCUACUAUACUCUUAUGAGUACGAUCGCCCUCGUACUCAUAAGUUGUUUUCGAUGAUAGAGCUUCCGAAACGACGAUCCACACUGUUAAACGUUAUUUAGAGCAUUUAAAACUGCUAGAAAUUAAAUUUCAUAAUUUUUCGACAUCAUUUACCUUACGAUCAAAAACUCACAAAAUUGACCAUUUUUAACGGCCGGUAUGGGAUACUUGCUAGUUUAAUGGUGGAAAAGAAUCGGAAUAGGUAGAAUUUUUGAUAGAAAAUUCUACUAAGUACCUAGAUAAAGAUCAAUAACUCCGAUCUUAAAUUAAAGAAUCCGAUCAUCCAUUUUUAGGACGUCGUUCGAUUUUGACCAUUCAUUUUAUGCCCGCUUGAUGGACUUUAUUAUGAUUUCGAAAAAUUACGAAAUUUAUUUUCUAGAAGUUUCAAAUACUCUAGAUCAUAUUUAACGGAGUGGAUCGUCGAUUCGGAAGCUCUAUCAUCGAAAACAACUUAUGAGUAUUAAGAGCCCACUACUCAUAAUAGUAUAGUAGCCCUACUCUACUUCAAAGUUCAAAUGAUGGCAUUUGGUUAUCAUAGGAAAUCCGACCAAUUUCUUUGAAAUUUCUUGAAUUCUAUAGCUGUUCUAGACACUGGAUUUGAGAAAACUACAAUUCCAAUUCCUUGAUUUCUAAGGAUUUAAGGAAGCCAAACAGGGUUAAUUCAUUGGCUGAGAUUGAUUCUUGUCUUCUCUUCCACACUGCUUUUUCCAGAAAAAUUGUUAAUGGUGAGAUGUUUCUGUUGGAUCAGAUAUAAAGAAUUGACAAAAAGUUAGCAAAAUGAAUUGACAAUAGUGAGAUGUUUCUGUUGGAGUAGAUAUAAAGAUUUGACAAAAAGUUAGCAAAAGGUUGACAAUAGUGAGGAACUUUUAAAAAUUUUGUCGAUAAAUCUAUAGUGGGUGGCUGUUUUGCAUGUACUGAUGAAGUGUUGAUCUGAUUGAUUGCAGAAGCAGUAAAAGUGGAGGUUGAGCUUAAAAAUCCUUUGCAGAUUUCAAUAUCUGUUUCUUCCAUUUCUCUUAUCUGUGAGCUCUCUGCAAGUUCUGAGGCAUCAACUAUUGGUAUGUUGCUCACCCAUGAAACUUGCAACUAUUUUCGUGUGCUAAUAAAGUUGGUUAAAACCCCAACAAAUUCACGUGUAUUGGGGAAAUAUAUCUGUCAACUAUGCAGACCGAAGUGUGUCAUCUGCUGAAGUUCAAGAAGAUACAAAUUUGAUGAAGACAUCCUUUUGUAGGUAUAUCUAAUUUAGUUUAAUGUUAUUGCAUUCAAGAAUCAUUUGUCUAGAACCUUCUGGAUAAAAAUGGCGCUUGUCAUUGAUCAUUGCAGCGAUCAAAAAGGUGAAAACAGUUCCUUUACUUUAUCAAAGAUUGAUGUCGAAUUAGGAGGAGGUGAAACCAAGAGGGUAAGGUUCCUAGUAACAAGUUCCUAUAUAUUUAUUGUUUCCUUUUCAUGAAUUUUUUUAUGGAUCCUGGGAUUCUACUUUCUAGUAUGUUUCUAGUUGUGGCAUUAAUGCUUGGUUAAUGUUUCAAUUCAUUUGUUAGGUCAAUAAGUCUUAAGUUUCCAGAAUUAUAAUAUUAACAGAUUUAAUUAACUUUUUUGUAUAUGCUGCACCUGAACUGCUUCCUUGAAUUUGAUUUUCCACUUGUAAUAUGCUUGUGAAAAUAUUGUAGAAUGACCUGCCAAAGAAAAAAUAGUAAUGGCAUGAAGCAUGUCAUUGUACAGUAAUAUCGAAAUGAGACAUUGAAGUGUGGCCAUAUUCCAAUUAGUGUCGACUUUUCUAUUUAUGAUACUUAAAAAUAUGGAGAAGAUUGACGUCCAUAACUUCACACUGUGUAUCAAAGUUUGAUUUGUACUGUGAAUAUAGGUGCGACAACCUUUGCCCUGUGAAGCCCAUCAUGCCAGUCGUUUAUGGGCCACAGGCUUCAUUUUGUUUUAGUUACCAAUCUUCAACCACCAAUCAUCUGCCCAGGAAAAACAUUCAAUAGCAUCAAAUAUAAUUUCCAGCACAUGCUUUAAUUCAUAAAGGAAGUAAAAUAUAUGAUAUGUCCUGCUAUGUUUGCAUAUUCACUCAUGGUCGACAUUUAUGUCUCACAGCUCGGUAGCCUCCAUGUUUAUUGGUUGGGAAAGAUUGAGGAGAAUUUUCUUCUAUGUAGCUGUUUUUUCUAAUAGUUAGGCAAUGUUUAUAGCUACUCUGUCUACUGUUGCUCUGUACUUAUCAGAAUUUGAUUUCCCUGAUAUAAUUUAGCCAUUUUCACUGCAUUAAUUUUUCCAUUUUGCUUGUGUUGAUUUUCAGGUACAACUUGAAGUUACUCCGAAAGUGGAAGGUGUUCUAAAAUUAGUUGGGUUGAGGUGGACUCUAUCAGAUUCGGUGGUCGGUUAUCAACACUUUGAGACUGAUGCAAAGAAGAAACACAAGAAAGGGAAGAGAUCAAAGCAUUCUUGGAAGAGUAGCCUGAAUUUAAUUGUGAUAAAGGUCAGUGCCUUCCACUUUCUUAAUCCACUUUUGUUUGAAGAUCUAAGUAGUAACUCCUUUUUUUACAAUUAGGGCAUACCAAAACUUGAGGGACGUGUUGAUGGUUUUCCAACAAAAACAUUUGCGGGUGACUUACGGCUUCUCAUGCUGAGUCUGAGAAACCAUUCAGAAUAUUCUCUGAAGGUCUGAUCAUCAUGAUUUAAUAUUUUUACCCUUUUUUUUGCCUUUACUGUUUUCUAAGUUUGUCUUAGAAGCAAUAUUUAACCAAGCAAUUUUUGUAAAUCAUCUAUGUAAAAGAAAAGUAAAAUUCGCUAUAUUCUUGGUAAAUUGUCGUAAAAAACUAAUAAAAUCUUCCUGAAAUUUGCAGAACAUCAGGAUGAAAGUAAGUCAUCCGAGAUUCUUGAUUCCCGCUAAUUCUGCGGACAUUCAUGAGGAUUUUCCUCAAUGCUUAGAAAAGCAGAGACAAAUGGAAAACAAGGAUGCGUCAGGAAAUGCUAAAAAUUUAUCCAGGAGUGCCUUCUUUUCAUUUCCAAAUGUGAGGAGAAAUUCUGGAAUACGAUCAUUAGUUUCAAUCUUACUACAAAGUUGGUCUAUAAUCUUUUAAAUUUGUUUUCACUUUUUUUAUACAGGAUGUUACUAUUCGAGGCGGCGAAACAUUCUCAUGGCCUCUUUGGUUUCAUUCUGGGUCUUCUGGAAAUAUAUCUCUUUAUAUGUCAAUAUACUAUGAAAUGGAAGGUGGUUCUAGUGACAUGACAUACCGUACACUGCGCAUGAAUUACAAUUUGGAGGUAAUAUUUCUAUUAAAAAAUUCAUGUUUUAUAGGGUACAUUUUCCGGUAUGUUUAAAAGUAAUCACCUAGGUGCAACUUUUUGAACCUAAUGUACUUUUUCAUUGAGAACUGAGAUUUGUUGGAAUAAAUUGACUGAAUGAGUUAUUUUAAUUGCUCUCUGGUGGAUUCAAUGCCUGGUAGAGAAGGUUGUGGAACUCUUGCUGGUACCAGUUCAACUUUUUGAGGAAGUGGGUACCCUAGUUAUUUGCUCCAUAAGCCACUGCGUAAUAAAUUUAGACAGUGGUUCCAUUAUUGAAUGUGUAUGUAUUUUGGCAUUGUGGACUUUUGUGUUGUUCAUUUCAUUCUAGGAAUCUGAGCAAAGAAUGAGAGAUACUGGUGCUUAUUUUUUUGUGUACUCAUACGUGUCACCAAGAAGUUUUCAGUCUUCAUAAAUUUACUGUGGUUAGGUUGCAUAAUUAUCUCUUGGCAUUCUUCAUAACAGCCUCUAUUCUUCGGAGCAAUUGAGUGAUUUAGGCAUGCACAUGGCUUGCCCACAUCUGGCCCUAAUACCAUUUUUUUCUUCACGUAUUCAGUAAUACGAAGUAAUAAAGAUGAAAAAAAAAACAAAGUAAUAAGGGAAUAUAUCCAGUCCUGUUGGCAAAUUUUUUUUGAAAUUGAGCACAACCGGCAGGUCAGACAUAACAUAGAUGCAGCCAUCAGUUGGUAAGUUGAAAGCUAAUUUGGAAAUCACUUGUUUAUAGAUACCUGUAGCUAAUAGUUAAAACUUGAAAAAUUGAAAAGAAAGGAGAAAACAGGAAGGAAAAAAAAUUAUGACUGCUUUUUUGAAUUGGCAAAUCCUUUUGCAGUGUGGUUGGAAUUGACUUUUUCAUGCAGUAGAAAAGAUUGAGGGAAAGAAACUUUGAUUAAGUGUGAGAAAAAUGGUUGAACAAGUGGAUGUAGUUUCUUUUUAUGUACAUACUGAUUGUUUUCUUCAUGAAGUAGAUAAUUAGAUCAUUUUGGAAAGGUAUUCCAUCAACUAUCUUUACCUAUUUCUGUUGCUUGCCGUUAUUGAGUUUAUUUCUUUAUUAAGUGGGCUGUUUUGGUACUAUUUUUCAUGCUAUGAAAGUAUAAUCACCAUUUGGCAGCUUUGUCUUGUUCUCCAAGUAAUGUCCCCUUUAUUUUGACAGGUUUUGCCGUCAUUAGAUAUUUCAUUCCUGAUCAGCCCAUGGCCGUCAAGGUUACAAGAGUAUUUUGUGCGUAUGGACGUUGUUAAUAGAACCAUUUCGGAGACAUUCUUACUGCAUCAAUUGUCAUGUGUUGGCAAUCAGUUGGUGAUAUCAGCAUUACCUUCCUGCAAUUCUAUCUGCUCCAUGCAAGAAAUAUUUGCGGGCCAGACAUUAUCAUGCUUCUUUAAGCUAAAGGUUUGAGAGCAUUUUAUUAAUUCCACUGUUAAACUAAUCUACUUUAAAUAGAUAGUCUCAUGCAGGAAUACAGAAUCUUAUUUGACCAUGUCUUAAAGUAGUUGUCUUGUUGGCCCAUUUCCACAAACUGUUAAAUAUUUGAUUAACAAAUUUUUUUUUGAGGCUAAUACGAAGACAAACCUUCUGAAAAUAGAGCCAUUUGCAUUUUGACCCCCCGGGAUAGAAAAACAUACAUCUAAACCCAAUAAAUGUUUAGACUAUUAUCACUUAACCUCCUUUUGUCACAUUUUACAUUGAAGAAUUGUCAAAUAUUGAAGAAUUGUCAAAAAAUCAUAGAAUGGUUUCGAGGUUCAUAUUUUAAGGCUACAGAGCAGUACGUGAAUGAAAAAUGUGACAGGAAGGGGGUUGAAGUGCUAAAGGUCUAAAUGUUACAUUGCUGAAUGUUGGUUUUUUAUAUUUCAGAAGAGAAACUGUAAUGACGCUAUUUGCAGGGGUUUUCUACAAUUUAACCUUUUCUCAUUUAACACAAUGUUUUCGUUGCUGAUUACAUUUGUGAUGUUGAAUGCCCCGGAUUAUUCUUUUGUUCCUUGUCUUAUGAGCUUGUAUGCGUAUGCCUAUUAGGUCCUAAUGACAGGUGAAAAGAAUGAGGAGUCUGUCCAAGGAAGUGAUAUGCUGUUGUCGUCUGCGAUCAGCAACGAUAUGCUACUAGAUGUAUCAAGGUCACCUUUGUCUGAUUUUCAUUAUCAAGAAAGGUAUCACCAGGGAAAGUUAGUGAAGGUACAGACAUCUCCUUCCAAAUUAGAUAACCGAGGCUUAUUGAUCUCACUAAAUACCUGUAGAACUUAUAUCUGAUGUUGCAUUGUGGAUGCAUGGUAUUUGGACAUUUCUCAGUAGUGGCUUUAGCCUAUCACCACUUAGUUUAGAUCAAUGUUUAAUAUUUCCAUUUCCGGUCCAUUUUUUUCAAUAUCAUCCAUAUAGGGGGGUCCAACUUAUUAUUGAUAUAUGUUAUUAAUUAAUCGUAAAUCAUGUGGCCUCACUCCAGCAAACUUGAAUGUUACUCAUGCAUUUCAUAAAAUUAAGCUGCUCUGCUCUUAAUAAACAUUCCGCUUUGACUGAUUUCAUCGACUCUUUCUGUAUGGUUCAGGGAUAUCAGAGCCUUCUUGAUUUCAUCAUGAUUUCAAAGAUGGUAAGUAGUAACUUGGAUUCAGAGGAAGGACCAAACCAGCUGCUGCUAUCUAACCAUGCAUGCCAUUGCAGGCAAGAGCUUGAAUCUUCUUUAAGCUUUCCUUUUCCUUUUUCUGUUUUGGCUAGAAUGUAUGCUUACCCCGUAACUAUAUAGAUGACUACUGUUUGAUUUAGGCAGAUUCUGUUUUAUUUAAAUUUUCAGUCAACUAAGUACUCUCCCAUCCCAAAGAAUUGGUACGGAGUCAGUUAUAUUCAAAUGGACUCAGACUAAAGUCUACUACUACUAUAGUCGUGGGGUUCAAUCCAAAAGAUAUAGAACUAGACCCAGGACCUUUUCCAAAUCACUCUCUUUUCCUUUUUUUCUUUUUUUUCUCUCAUUUUUGAAGCUUCAAGGGCCUUGUAUUUUUUUUUUUUUUUAAUGUUUUAUUCUUCUCUCAGUAUCAGCAGGACUAGCCCAAUUUGGUGGCUAAUGGAUGGACCUCGAACAAUUUAUCAUGAAUUUUCAAGUUCUUUUUGCGAGAUUGAUCUGCAGUUGACGAUCCACAACUGUUCUAAUAGUCUCGUCUCUAUCCGAGUUGCAACAUUUGACAGCAUGCUAGAGACGACCCAAUCCAGUGAUGCAGUUCAUCUCUCUGAUAAUUCUAACGAUCAGGGAGGAUGGUAUGAUGUUUCUUUAACAAAUGACAUUAAGCUUAUUUCUAAUGUCCAAGGGAGCCGUUCUCAAAAGCGAUUAAGUGAAAGCACUCCCCCUUUUGUUUGGAGCGCAUUAAGUUCCACUCAACUUGCUAUGGAGCCAGCAUCUACAGCCAAACUACCUCUCAAAAUCUUUGUAUUCUCACCUGGAACAUAUAAUUUAUCAAAUUAUGAAUUGCAUUGGAAAAUACAACCACAGGGGGAAGGAAUAACUGAUGAAGUGAAAAAUAAGUCGUCUUCAGGCUUGGGACAAGGGCACCCAUUUUAUCUUACUGUUCUGCAGGCUCCUUAAUGAGACCCUAAAGCUGCUUCAGAUCUUACUUCAAAAUUUUUUCAUAUGGGAGGUUUUGUCUUAUGUGAUUGUUGUAUAUUAUGGGCAAAUAUGACAGGAAAGAGAAAUAUAUCUUCAGCUAUUGGCGAAAUUUUGCUCCCAGGUACAGGUACCAUUAGCUCAGCUUCUUGUGUUAUUUUCAAAGUUAACACCUUGUUUAAUCAGGCAUUAGCUAUUGGUUCAACUAUACUUUAGGUCCCUUUUUUUUUUUUGGUCCGGGGCUCAAUGGGACAGGACUUUUAUUCCGUGUUUGUGCUGAAAAAUAGCCAUAUAACAAUCCACUGUUUAUGUUCUGUAUCUAGCGAUCAUUCCAUCUAAAUUUUUUUUCACAGAAAUCGUGAUAUGUUACCUUCAUUGAAUCAUUGAUCAACUGUGUAGUGCUCACAAAACUGCUAAUGUAAGCGUUAUUGGUGAAGGAUUAAAUUUAUUUGGCCAUUUUUUCUACUUGUGCUGUUGUCUUAUUGACUCAGACGCCGUUGAUGUCGAUUUCAACUGAAUUGUGCAGAUUUGAUCCAGGUAAAGCCUGAAAUGUCAACUGCUUGAUCGAUUAUAUAAUAGUGCAUUCAUUCUAGUUAUAUAUUUUCCUGCUCCAUGCCAAAUGCCUCUAUUGUCAUCCCAUAGUAAGGACAUCAAUUCUGUGGGUUGGGUUCGCAAUCUUACUUGUUGCAAAGGUUGUAGAUUUCCUUUCUCUCAUUGAACGGAUUGAGGGUUUGCCAGUCGCAAAUCCUUGCUGGGGUGAAGAAAUUAAGCAUGUAAGAUCUAUAGCUUGCUUCACUGGGAUGACACUAUUUGCUUGGAUCGUCACCACUCUGGCGAAGCGGAAUUUCUUCAGCACUUCUUGCAUUCUCUGACAGUGCUAAUGACACACUAGAAAAGGCCUCAACUAUAACCAAGAUGCUCUUCAUCAAUCCUCGUACAUCAACUCAAAACUCACAUUGUACAUAAACAGCACCACAGAAAUUAAGAGUUGAUAUAUGCGCUACAACAACAAGACAUUUCUAUUAUACAGAGACUUGCACCCCAGGACCGUUGUGGGAACUCGUAAUAUUUCACCAACACUAGUUACGUCCCCUCGACAGAAAAAUCUAGAUGGCACGAAAGAAUACCCGACUAGCAAUAGAAAAGGCCCUAUCCGCACAAUAUCCAAUUGGGUAAACACAGAAAGACAACAAGCAUAUGCUCAACCUAUCUAACCCAGCAGCUGAAUAUACAAAGAGGCGAAGACUCAGCAGGAACUGAGGCAAACUCCUGAUCAAUGUUUCAGAGGAUUUCUCAAUGCAUUGAAGCAAUUAUAGAUAACGCGAGAGAUUGGUAAGUCGUGUGUUGAUCAGAGUUUUUUCUGCUUCGAAUUUCAUCCUUUCCUGUGAAAAGCUGCUUGUCCUCGCCGAACCCCAUCAGGCACUCGAAUUCUUCAGCUCAUUGAUCUCGCCACGAUCCGUCGUAUAUUAGAGGAUUAAAUUUAAUGCCAUAUAUUCCAACCAGGAGCCUUGAAAAUAACGGAAUAUAUAAACAUAUGAGAAAAACUAUUAUAUCCAGGCAAGAGAACCUCGAUCAUUAGCUACUUGUGGGCGGCCCCUCGUGGGGGUUGGCGGUCUGUUGGCAUUAAGCUCCUGAGAUCACAAAUAAAGAUUGAAUAGAAGAAAAUCAUAUUGAGAAUCCAAAAUGCAAUGCUAAUAGAAAAAAAUUGGUUUUCUUCCACUUGAAUAUAAGAUACUACUAACCUAAAUUCAAUAUAGACAUAAUACUUAAACCUUACUAUAUGUAACUAUUUAAUUUAUACGGGCACUAUAUGUAUGUUCUCAUAAACGAUUGAAGAAUAGCAUCUGCAUUUUAUUUUAGUAAACAUCCGUGUUUAGUUAAGAAGCUAUUGCACCUGCAUCCAUGUAUCCUCAAUUUGACGCUCUGGAGAGGUUUCGGGUGAAGUAAUUGCAGGGGGUAAAGGAUGGAUAAGUUUGGGAACAACCACAAGGUCUCUCCCCAAAACUAGAAUAGCUCCUGCAUUGUUUGCAGUACCUACACACAUUAAAUUAAAUAUACAAAAGAUUGGUGAACAAAAAAGUCAACCAAAAAACAGAAAGAUAAUUUGCUAAGCACUUUGAACAAAAAAAAAAACCUACCACAAUAAUUAGUAGCAGAGAAGAGAGUGAUCAGAUGACCUUGAGCGAAUCGCUCAAAGCCAUCCAUCACACAUUCAUGGGCUCGUACUAUUAGCUGUAGGUCAUUAUUAUUACAAAAUUCCAUAACACGAUCGGGCUGUAGAAAAGUAAAGAGUUUUUAGAAAACAGGUAAGUUGUAUCAUAGAAGUACAACCUGCAAACCAAAUCAAGAAAGAAGACUGACCCCAAAUGUUACCAAGCCCGGACCCCUAGCAUUUGGUCUUAACCCUUCAACACUGUCAUUUUCUGUUGGAUCAGACCUGUGAAGAACGCCAAAAAAAAAAAAAAAGAACAUUGUGCUCCUGAAUUGAAAAGCAAAAGACUAAUGAUGGAAGUGGUAAGAUCGUUUUAAGUAGGGUCUAUGGUUUGAAUUCCUGACCAUAAAAGGUCCAUCAGAACAAUGGAUCCUGCUUCCAUUGUAAUUGGUCUUUGAAGGUUUUCGAUCUGCUCAAUAUGAUUGAUAGAUCGACCGAUGCCACCAUGCAUGCAGAUUAUUUUCUUUUCUAUUAAUGCAGCCAAAGGAAGCCAAUUGAAGAGUCGAUUUAUGCGGUGCCAAGUCCAGAUACCAUCUCGCUCUCCCUGUUCAAACACAGAAUGUAAAAUAUGCGACUUGUUUACACACAAAAACAACAAAAAAGAUAAGAGACUAUAUGAUCACCAUCCGCUCAAUGCACUCAAUCCGGAAGCCAAACAAAGCAUUGAUAUCUGCAGCUUCAUGGUUUCCACGUAUUAAAUGUACAUUAUUAGGAUAUUCAACCUGCAAUAUAACCCCGAUUAUAUGGCUUGGUAAAUUAGAGAUCUAAUUUUCUGUCUAUCAACUUAGAAAUCCCUGCAAGAGUACCUUCAGUGCAAGAAGAAGAGUAAUUGUUUCCAAACUGUGUUGGCCACGAUCAACAUAAUCUCCCAAGAAUAGAUAAUCGAUAUAACUGAAAACAUUAGAGCAAAAUUACUAAACUAGCAAUAAAACUCGGUGAUUAGGAAGUAAUUUAAAAAAAGAGAGCUAUCAUGUAAACUAAUUCCAUUUUCUAGGUAUGAAACUACUAGCCUCACAUUUGAUUUCUUAUUCAAGCAUUUAAAAUUCUUUGGUUCAUGUCAGAAAGCAUGCAUUAGAACUUAAAGACGAGAAGACAGUAUUGUUUCAAAAUUCAACAGGUGAUUUCCAGUUCAACUAAAAUAUACAUGAAUACUUGAAGCUAAUAAAAUCUUUCAAAUAGUUCUUCCGACAUACAAAAUAAACCAAGUGCAUUACUUCCACAAAUAGUAAGAGCAGACUUACGCAAUGUCCCCAGCUGUUGAAGGAGCACCAUACUCAUCAAACAAGCGCAUGAGAUCGCCAAACUGACCAUGGAGAUCACCGAAGAUCUUAAUGGGGGCUUUGAGUUGAAGAACACUUGGCUCGCUUGAAAAUAUUCUUUCAGCACUGUCGCAGAGAUCCGCAAUCUCAUUGCAAUCCAGGAAGAACUGCCUGCGCACGGGGGGCUUCCAUCCACGGGGUUUUAAAAGAUGUGCAAUUACCUGGACUUAGCAUCACAUAUAUCAGAAGUAUGCAAAACAAAUACUUAGUAGUAAAAACUUCAGGUGCUUGUACUUCAUAAUGGCAAUCUUAAACUUUCUAUGUUUCUAAAUAUAAAUUUGUUUCUCUAAAACUGAACUAAAAAUAGAACUAGCAUUAAUUUUUCGAAUCUUUCAAUCUUCCCUGGAAAAGCCAAGACAUGCAAGCUUUGUCAAAUGCAAAAUGAAUGCUUUUUUUACUAUAGCAAUUAAUUCUACCUUUUUAGGCACGGUAUUCAUAGACAUUUGCCUGUCUAGUAACUUUCUGGCUGCUGAUGCACUCUCAGGAGUGCCAUAACUGACCCUUCUUCCUUCAUUUUCAAACUGAUCGAUCGAGAGCUGCCGAACCAUACCACCCAAAGCACCCCCAGUCUCUGCAGCUACAACUACCUGCAUAGUAAAAGUUGUGUUAUUCAAGGUCAAUGGGCUUAGACCACAAAUUUUUCUCGAGGUUUAAGCAGUGGGAUUAAACAAGGUUUGAAGUACCGCUGCCUGGGAAUGUCAUGUUGAACGGUGGCAAUAUGUGGUAUGGCACACGCAAUGUGCCACAGGAAGAACUUUUGAGUGUUUUUAUUUUUUCCUUUAAUCUUGAAAGUCUUUCUUACCAACUUGUAAACAUAAAAUUACAAUUUGGGAGCAUCCCAAUCUCAUUAAAUAGAAGAAAAUAGGGAAAACAGAAAUGACAUUUCAACUUGUGCUAAGGGAAUCAGGGUACUCCUUUGUACAUGCUGAUCAGUGCAUAACAAUCGUGCACAGUUGGCACAUGAAUCCUUGGGAUUAAGCAUAUGAUAGUAUCAACAGAACAAUAUUGACCAAUAAAUAGGUUUUUCAUCAUCUCAUAAGAGACAAUCCCAACAACAGCAGAACAUAAAUUGACAAGGUUCUACUGACCGCUCUGUGGUGAAGCCGAACGCCAGGUGGUGUGGCACUAUUUGAAAGUGUAUUUGAAAGUGAAGGGUCUGGCACUUUAAUCAGGCUUGAGAUUUGUUUUCCACUCGGUGUGGCAUCAGAACUAUGAUCUCUCUCGGGUGUUUGUUCCACUUCACCGUUGAUUUGCCGAGCCUUUGCAGCAGCUAAAGUAGCACUAAUUGCCUCAGCUUCUGCAGCUGAGGCUUCAACAAGAUAUUCCACGCCUUUGCUCACUCUCCUGUACAAAGAUAACACCUAAGUAACAUAGUCAACAAUUCACAUGAUAGCUUACAUUAGAGAAGAAGACCUAUUCAUCUGUUAGUUACAGACAUCCUCCGCGUGAGUUCUGAAUUGAGGAUAUAAUAUAUACAGCAGAAAAGAGUAGUUCCUUGCAAAAGAUACCAUCAAGUUGGGAGUCACCCAAUACAUGAAGUUGGUUUCCUAUUAGAAAAUAUAUUUUUUUUAAUCUGAAGAGGGGCAUUUCUAUCAGUACAAGCAUAUAGAUGAAAGAAAUCAACUUUCCAAAGGAAUAUAUGGAUACUCAGAUUUUGCAGGAAUAUAAUUCAAAAUAAUAGUUUUUCAUAUCAUCUACGUUGGGUUACCUUUGUCCUUGGAGCAUGGCAUUUUCAGUGCUUAUAUCAGCAUACAUAUCUCCAUUAACAGGAGGAGCAACUGGAGUUCCAAGCACAACAGCACUGCCGGGAACGGCUUCAGGACCGGUUUGUCCUUGUCUUUCAUCAGCAUAAGUACUUCUUGCUGGUGAUCUUCCUACCUGUACAUUGGCGGCUGCAGCAGCUGCAGCAGCAUGGGACGCUGCACUUGUGGUUUCAGCAGCAGCCAGAUCCUCAGCAACAAGAAGAUCAUCAAGAAGCACACCUGGUACAGUAUGAUAAACAAACACAGUAUUAGUGUGUAAUAUAGAUAUCACUGAAGCCGAAGCAGCGAGAUAUGGAAAACAUCUGCAGCCCAGAUAUUAAAUCUGCAGCUGUACAAUAGUAGCAGAAAACAGUAUAUGGACAUGAAAUUCCAAGGAUCAAAGAGGAUAUAUGUAAACCCAUUCAUUGUUAAUAUAUGGGUAAAAUUGUAGUCCAAAAAAGAUAGAACACAAAGUCAGAAUCUAGAAAUGAUCACCUUAGAAAAAAAGAUAUGGACACGGGCCAUUUACAGACAAGUCUAUAUAGAAAAAAUCAAUUAAAAUCCUUACCACCACGUAAGCCUCCAUAAAUGUAAAUCUGAUCACCAACUGCAGCAGCUGCAUGUCUACAGCGUCGCGUUAGCUCAACUGAAGCAUCUCCACCAGCUGCAUCAGCACUAUACCGGCCUGUUCUGGGACUCGUAACAACUGAUUUUGUAUCACACCAUACCCCCGCAGCAGUAUCCAGAACUACGAAGAAAGGAGAAAUAAACACAUAAAUCUUUGCAAAGAAAAGAGAGGAUUAAACGACUCAUAACUAAAAAUUCAUGUUCUUCAAUUUUGAUUUGCAGGUGCUAAGUCGAUUAGCUACUGUAAUGAUGGAUAGCUUAGGACAUAUGACAACAUGUUAACUAAAGCAAUAAGAACUAUCUUUAACUAUAUACUGUGUAAGGCAUCACGUGGAAGGGCGACAUGACAGCUCACACCACCCACUUUGGCAGAUUAACAAACUUUUAUAUAUUAACUAAAAAAUUAUUCAAUAGAAUGCAUGGAUGCUUACAAAAACUAUGUGUCGAUGAUGACAAAACUGACUGGUACCAACACCAUAGCGACAUCUUUGAAAACAACUGGCAUAUUAAAAGCAAGGUUUUAAGUGCCCGUCGGCACGAGCCAUAUCCACCAUGCCGUAUCGUGCCAACAAGAUACCGACACGAUACAGACCCCGUGCUGAUGGCACAACUCAAAACCGUCUAUUCUUUAAAUUAGUAAAUAAUUUCCUCAAUAAAGUUCAAAAGAUGUAAUAAAAAGACAUAAUAAAUAGUUAGAAUAUUUUAUUGCUAAAGAAAAUAAAUAUUUCAUGCUAUUAUGUGUCAGCACACAAGAAUUUUUUUGACCGGCACGUAUUGGCACCGUUCGGCACGCACCGUGCUGUACCAUGCCGGCAAGUUUCCGGCAUGAUCCUGUGCCACGGCACUUAAAUCCUUGAUUUAAAGUAAAAGGAAUCUAGUAGACUGUUGCUGUAUAAACAAUAUUUGUACUGUGAUUGGGCCAUUGAAAAGGGAAGCAUUAUUAUCGUACCUGCACAAAAUGUAUUUAUCUUUUAUAUCUUUUUCUGCACUGCAAUCACUUUUGUACUAUAUUGAAGAGAAAAUUUAUAGCAUUCUCUCUUGACAGAUCUAAAAUCCAUUUAGGUCAAAAUGAUAAUAGAAGCUGAUGAGCAUCAGAAAUAGCAUACUGCAUGAAUUCACUUUGCUGAUUGCCUUAACACAGGGAUCUUCGGCUCUAACAGGCCUUCUAAUCAUUUGAAAAGAUUUAACAAAAUUUACCGCUGCAAUAUCGUGUCCUCUAUUGAAAUGUAUCUUUUUGAUAUUAAAAAUUCAAUCUUAAGGGUCUAAAAUAGUCAAUAGCUAUGCCAAAUGACUGAAAUUAGUUAAUACAUGCUAUACUAUGUAACGGCUUAUAAGUACUUUCUACAGCAAAAAUUAAAGAAAUAACUACCUGCAACGCUAGAAGAAUCUUCUACCAUGCGGCCCCCUCCAAGAGCCCCUCCAGAUACAUGAAGUCGUGCAUUGACAAAAACCUGAAAGAAUAAUAUAAGAAAAUCAGUGAUAUUUAUACGACAGAAGUAACAACACUAAGAAGUUAAAUUAGCUCACCGCUGCAUGUUGGUAUCUUGGAGAUGGAGAGACACCAGGAGCAAUAGCCCACUCCCAACGCCCAUCCCUAUGUUUUGCAAGACCAUAUGCACUUGACAGGGGCUACAAGUAUAAAAGAUAACAAAUAAUAGCAAAUCAUUCAUUAAUAUUGAUUUAAACGACAUUACCUGCCAAAGUUAUAUAUGCGCCUAAUUACAUUCUAAUGCGGACAAAGAAUACUAUGCCUACUACAGCAAGUAAUAAACAUAGUUCCUAAUAAUGUGGCAAGAAGCAAAGCAUCUUCAGAUAUAACAUGAAUCGCCUAAUAAUAUGAUGAGAAAAGGAACAUGUCCAACUGCAACAUAAAUGAUUGAUUUUAGAAAUAUUGUAAAAGCACAGCAUUAUUGCAUUUGCUUUUAGCCAACAAAUAUAAUAUAGUAAAAUUAGUUAUUGUCAUGAGGCUUAAGAAAGCUAACAUUCAAAAAAGGUGAAAAGGCAUUAUCCAAGAAACUUGUUAGAUAAAAUAACACGAAGGUAAAGCUCCAAACAUAUUAUUCAAAUUUCAUGUAUGCAAUUAACACUUACAGCAAACAAUAAACCUAUUAUCUGGAGAGAGUCGACAACAUAUUUGGAAGAAAAUCAUGCUUUAUACAAAAUCUUUUGACUCACCACACUGUUUGCAUCCCUCCCGCCACAAAGCAAAAGAAGACCAUCAGAACGUGCACUUGCAGUUGCAUACCUAAACAAACAUAAAUAGAUGUAAGAGUCAAGAAUGGACAAUUUGACAAUUAAAAGAACAACAAUGGCAAAAUUAAAUAACAAAGAUAACGAAAAUCUUGAGGGAUAAAGAAUAUUUUCGUCAUUUUCUUUAUCAAGAAGCUUACAUAAAACACAACAUUCAACUCAGUGCUCAUGCAAAUUAUGGGCAAUGUCAUAAAUGACAUGCACAUGGUAGUGCGCAUGCAAACACAUAUAAAACAACCACGAUAGUUUGUCAGCUUAUCUCACAAAAUCAUAUCAGAUGGCGAACUGGUACAAGGUGCAAAAUCAAUGUUGUAUCCAGGCCAGGUUGAGAUCAAAUUUCUUUCAGUACAAACUAGGUAGCUACACUAAGGAGAAUGUUGAUAGAACUUCAUAUAUUUUAACUUAUCAAGGCAGAACAAAGCUAAAAUUGAUCAUAACUAUUUCACAGAUGAUAUAACUAUGAAGCGCUAGUCAUACCUCACAUAGAGGCAAAGUUGCCCACAGGCAUGUAAAAGGCGACCUUCUGUACAAUUUGGCAUGCUCAAGCAUGAGCAAUAACACAUAUGCUAAGAAAGUUAACUUGUGCAGUACCAUAUAUGCAAAGAAGGUUCAAGCACUCAGAAAAAGAACAGUGGACAAGAGGGUUGAGCAAACUGUCAGACUAUAGGGAAAUCAAGAAUGCUUCUACAAGGAAGCACUAAGAAUGCUUACAGCGAAAAAGAGGGUCAAGCAAUAACACAUAUGCUACACUAAGAAUGCUUUAGGCCCUAGCAUAUGACUUAAGCCUACAACUAUAUAAUAAAGACUCUUGAACCUUCACCAAUAAUUUAAAUAUGAACUUCAGAGUUGUUUAGAAUAACGACCACAGGAAACUGAAACAGAACUAAAAGUUUGGCAUAAAAACUCUACAACGGAAUAAGAAAGAGUUAAUUGCUUUCUACUGCAGAAUUCUGCAGGAUUACAAGAAAUAUAUCAGAAAAGAAGAUACAAAAAGAAAUAGAAAGGAAAGGAAAGGAAAGGAAAGAUAUUUGAAACAUGCAGUGUUGUACGAUAAAGGCACAACAUUCAGUUUUACUCCAGUUUCAAAACUCAAGUCUCCAGAAAUGGAAUCCCCAAAAUUCUUUUCUAAAUAGUUACGUAAGAUACAAACACAAAUUUAUACUCAUUAUAUCAGAUUUUUUUAGCUUUUGAAUCAGGCAUCUAAACUACCAAAAUUAACUCCCAGUCUCAUCAAAUUUCAUCAUUCAACUGCAUAAAAAGUAGAAAGAAACAACUGAGGAGGAAAAAAAAAAUAAAGACUCAUUCACUUGAAAAAUAUUAAAAAGAAAAACAGAAGUUUUGAACACGUACAAUCAGCAUCCCCCCUAUUAUUGGUGCUGAAAAAGACAUCGACAACUCAGCUAUUGCAGCAUGAUCAGCAUGGUGAUCCUAGAGAUCAUGAUCGUUAAAACCCAUUUUUUUCCUUGGAUGUAAGCAUCAAGAUAUUGAAGACUAGUCACUAAGAGGAAUGAACAGACAAAAACAAGUUUUCCCACUAUAACUAUUAAUAGGCUACAAUAAAUAUGGAUUACAACUUACAAGAAGGCAUUGUUGUAAACAAGGCCCCCUGCUACUGUAGGGUCUAGGAGUACAAAAUCUGCCAGCUUAUCCUACUUACAAGGAAGAUUGCUUUCAUGGUUAAUCUGCAAGACCAUAGAGCAUCAAGACAACCUUAACCUCACACCAAAAGGAACACUCGCUAAAUAUGGCUCAAGUUGUAAAACAUAAUAUAAAGCUUCACAUAUGAGUGUAUUGAGUGAACAGGUGAAAUUUGAGUUUCAUUAUGUCAAUAUCUAAUAAGUUCUACACAGUCACGAAGAGAGAUGGCACAUGAUUUGUCUAAAGCGAAAUGCACUCCUUUAAGUAACGAGGAGCAAUAUGUACAGAAAGAAAACUAAUGUCGUCAGACAAAUUCUACAUUCCAACUAAUGUACUCACAUGCAUGGAGGUGGGCCUUCGCCUUCCGGUUCUAGCUUCCGCCACUCGUAAGGUUUAGCAGCAGUGUCAAGUGCCCAAACAUCAGCUAAAGGACGCUUACCUAAGAACAUAGUAAAGAACAAUAAACUAACUAACAUUAAGAGGAAAUACGGGAAACACAAGAAAAAAAAAAAGUUUGUAUGGCACAUUGGAGAACGCUCUGAUAUCUACAGCGUACAAUUGCCUACCAUCAUUCCCACCAAUAGCCAAUAGAAACCUUUGCCCAACUAAAGCCAUCACAUGCCCGUAUCGCGGACCAGGACCUGGUCCUUGUACAACAACCCUGCAUCCGCUCGUAUCAAGUAUCAGCAAAGACACAUUAAAUCAGCAUGUUUCCAAAACAUUAACAUCAAUAAUCACCUAUGCCACCGUGGCCGUUGUUGCGUUAGAUCCAGAACAUGAAGAUCCUCCGCAGAUAAACCAGCAGGGCCAAUACCACCCUGGAUAACAAAUUAACAACAGGAAAACAGGAUAAACUUCAGAUGGAAGACCAUCUUCGAAUUCUUUUCAAUCAAGAAGAUUUACUAAUGAAUCAAAUAUAUUAUUAAAAUCUAACUGAAAAGGUGGAUUCAAAGUACCUGAAUGACUACCAUAGUACCAACAGCAGUUGCAACAUGUGCGGCUCUUGGUGACGGUGGCUCUCCAAGUGGAGUGAGCCUGAAAAGAAGCAUAUUUCCCACAUAAGUUCGGCGCCAUUCGUCAUAAACCGACAUAUACCAACUUCAAUUGCUUAAUGAGAUGAGAGUUACAAACUUUCAAAUAAUCUUACCUCGUCCAUUUACCAGCCAACACAUCAUAACAGUGGACAUCAUUAGUUGCACCCGCUAAACCUACAACCCAAGGAGAAAAUAAUAGUUGAAAGCAAUAACAAUCCCAAAUUCAGAGGUCCAGAACACAACAAGAACAAAAAUCUAAAUUACAUUAACGAGACCACAUAUAAGCUCACAUUUCCAGAUUGCAAAUUCGAGAUAACUACAUAGAGAAUGUUACCAAGGUUUCAACUUGAAAACAAGUCAGAGCUACUACAACCUUCUCCUCGCAAAAUUUAGGGUCUCAGGGAAGAGAUAACAACUGGGAUCAAGAAAAAGAGGUUUUGAUAAAUAGAAAGAACGGGAGAGAAGAAGAGAAGCAUACGGAUGCCCGCGCUACCGGCGGAGGAUGGCGGGGCAGCGGAAUUGCCCUCGAGGGCGGUGGCGCCACCGAAGAGGAUGAGGCGCGGCCCGACGUAGCCCGGCGUGCCCUCCUCCCCCACGGGCGGCACCGCCGUGAGCGUGUGCCCGCACCGGCACCCGGGCCCGUCCUCCUUCUUCUCUAUGAACGCGUUCACCACCUUGUAGGUCGGGGCCGGCCUCGGCCCGGCCACGACCGGCUGCUGCUGCUGCUGCUGCGGCGGCUGCGGCGGCGGCGCCCCGGACGGCGCCGCCGCGGGCGACGUCGACGGGUCCUCGUGGUGGUGGUUCGCGGCUGCGGCGGCGGAGGCCGGAUCGUGGUCGGACUCGGUCGUCAUCGCCGCGUCCACGUCCAUCCUAAGCUGCGGCGGCGGAGAUCGGGGGCGGGGGAUGCCCUAGGAAGCAGCGGAAGCAGGGGGAGCAUUCCUCGGGGGCGGCGACGAGGGCCUCAUCAAACGGAACCCUAACCGCGCGAUUCGCGACGCAAUUCACCUCCUCCGCCACCGAAAUCGACCGAAACCCCAACCCCCGCCCCGCCCCGCACCACGACGGAUCGUCGGAGGAGGAGGAAGACGAAGUGACGAUGAGAGCGAACGCUCCAAGGGGGAUCGCGCAAUCACCUUCGAUCUCUCCUCGAUUUCUCUCUCCCCCCGCAGCUCCGUGAACGAAAUGGGAGAGAAAAAAGAAUAUCGAACGGGAGGAAGAUAUAUAAAUUAAUUAAUUAAUUAAAGAAAUUAAAAAGAGUAGAGAGAGAGAGAGAGAGAGAGAGAGAGAGAUUUUUUUUUUUUUUGGGUGGGUUCGCAAUAUCUAUCUUGUGUUAUGUUAUGAGGCUUUCAACGCGCUUCGCUUCCUCGAAGAAGCGGCCGAGGAAUAAUCCCUAAAAUUUACAAAGAAACCCCCCACAACUUUGAAAUAAAUAAAUUUAGUUAAAAAAUUUAAAAAUUAUAGAGAAUUCAUUGAUAUUUUUCAUCGAAUUUAACGAUUUUAAUUUAAUAAUAAUUAAUAGCUCGAUACCAAAUUUACCAGAAUUUUCGAACUCGACAAGCAAAGGUAAUUUUUGAAGUAUUAAUUAAGAAAAGUAAAAUUAAGGGGCCAAUUUCUAAAUAUCAUAUAGUUGGGGCGGUGUCGGUAAAUUUUGGCCAAAAUCGACAAUCUGAUAGGGAGAGAGCAUGUUUGGUGGUGGGGAGGCGCCGUAUCCGUCCGUUGACAAGAACGGACGGUCGUGAUUGUAUGUGAUUUUGGAAAGUGGGGGAUUUUUUUUGGGGAUUCGUGUCACCGGGGAAGGGGAGUCUAGCUGGCACUGGCGUAACGGGGCGUGGGCCCCACCCGUGGGAGGCAACCGGGUUACCGCCUACAGCCGGUCACCCCCUCAAGUAUUUUUUUUUAUUAUUUAAGAUCUUCCUUAGCUUUCAAGUUUUUGAAAUUAAGCUAUUUUAGUUAAAAAAGAAUUUAAUAAUUAUUAAUAAAUAAAAUUAGAUCAAAUAGCAGUUCCUAAUUAAGAAAGCUAUUAAAAUUGAUCAAAUUUUUUAUUUCGCUAUUGAGGAGUUCAUUAAAAAAAGGGCAAAUUUCAAAUAUCAUUCCUGUAGUUUUGCAUUUUUUUUAUUUUAGUACCCUAUGGUUUAAAGUAUAUCAAUUUUGUACUCUAUGAUUUUAUUUUUCUCUUUUCGUGAGCUCCUCUAUUAAUAUUUUAUUAAAUUAUAUACAAAAAACUUCGGAUACCCCACCUAGGUUUAUCGAAUAUCCACUUUAAUAUCUUUUAAUUUUAACUUGUCACUGAUUUAACAAAAGAAAAAAUUAGUGGAAGGGAUAAUAAAAAAAAGAUGAAAUUACGGAAUACUAAAUCGAUACACUUUGAACCAUAGGAUACCAAGUGACAAAGUGCGAAAUCAUAUGGGUGGUAUUUGAAAUUUUUCCUUAAAAAAUUGUUGAGGGGACUAGUUUAGAAUAACUAUAGUUGAGGGGACCUAUACACAUCUUUACCUUAAUAAUAAUAAUAUAUAUAUAUAUAUAUAUAUAUAUAUAUAGAGAGAGAGAGAGAGAGAGAGAGAGAGAGAGAGAGAGAGAGAGUACGACUCCCCGUGGCUUUGAAAGUACGGAGCCUCCGUAAUUGUAAGUUUGAUUUUUGAUGAUGGAACAUCCAAUUUGACGAUCGGCUCCCGUUAGGCAUAAAUCUAUCAUUGCGGAACUAUUAGAACCAAAUUAUUAUACAUUUUUCGACAUCAAUUUAUACGCGAGGCGAUCACAAGGUAAAAAAUGACUAUUUAAUGGCCGAAUGUGCAAUGUCGUUUAAUUCAACGGUGUAAAAGUACCAAAUUAUAAGUGAACUUAAUAGUAAAAUUCUAUUCUUAACAUCAAGGCGCGUUUGUUCGCAUUAUAAAGAUUACUAAGAAUAAAAGAUAUCCGAGAAAAUCUUAUUACUAUCAUCUAUUACUAAGAAAGUGAAAUUCCUGUGUUUGGUUCACACAGUAAUAUUAAUGUAGGGCACAUUGUUAUUUAAUAUUACAAAAAAUAUACAAAUUAAUAAUUUAUUUAUUAUUUAAUUUAUAAUUUACGCAAAGUUCAACAUCUUUUAGAAAACAAGGGACGAGCGGAGUAAUAAGUUAGAGAAGAGAGGUCCAUAAUUAAAAAAUAGAAAGAAAAAUAUUAGUGUCGACCAAAUUUAGAGGGAAUGGAGAGUUGAAAUUUUAGAAAGAGAGAGAGAGAGUGAAAGGCUUAGUUUAGAGAGAGACAAAAAAAGUUGAAUUUUAGAGAAAAAAUAAGUUAGAGAAGAAUAAAAGUUAGACGUGAAAGAAAAAUAAUAUCAAUAGAUUUACCGACGGUGUAAGAAAAGAAAGAGAUAGACAUAUUUAUAUAUCCCAAUACCUUAAAUAAUGAGAUACCCCCCCCUCAAAGGAAUGAGAUAUUAGUACUUUUGGCAUAAAUCUUAUUCGCCAGUGAACUACAAUAUUACCAACUAAAGAUUAUCUUAGUGCGUUAGCCAAACCCCGUCUAUUUUUUUAUCCCAAUUGGAUUACUAGGAACUUUAAAAGAUAUGUGCGAACGCAAAAGCACCCAAGAGUAAGAACAAUAUUCGAUUUGAAAUUGAGUCAUUAUCAUUAUUUUUAUGAUAUUUUUAUUUUCGCGCCGUUCAUUGUUGAGCUACUCGUUUACUAGGCAAACGAAGUUCAAAAAAUUAUGAAAAUUUGGUUUCUACGAUAGUUUCCAAUAGCGUAGAUCAUGUCUAACGGCAAACCGAUCGCCGAACUCGGACGCUCCCACUCGAUCGAAAACAACUUACAAAGUACGGAGGCUCCCGUACUUCGAAAUGCAUUAGGACCUUAUGCUCUAUAUAUAUAUAGUAUAUAUUACAUAAUAUAUAUAUAUAUAUAUAUAGACUAGUAAGACUAGAAAACUCUGCUAAUAAAUAUCACCCAAAGUGAUACUUGUUUUUUUUAGCCCUUGGAUGGCAGAGAAUGGUUGAGAUGAUGUGGUUAGGUGUGGUGGUGGAAGUAGUUUAAUCCAAGCGACUAUUAUAAAUCAAAAGUAGAUCCAAUGGCUAAAACACACAAGUAUCACUUUGGGUGAUACUUGUAAAAGUUAUUCUAGCCCUACUCUAUAUAUAUAUAUAAUAUAUUAUAUAUAAUAUAUAUAUAUAAUAUAUAUAUAUCUGACUAGGCUGGUAUACUAUCGGUUGUACGGAGGCCUCCGUGCUACCGAGUUGUUUUCAAAGAUGCGGCUUCCAAAUCCACGAUCGGCUCCAUUAGACUUGAUCUACACUAUUAAAAAUAUUUGGAAACUAAAUUUUAUAAUUUUUCGACAUCAUUUGGUUAGUGAUCAAAAUGUCUGAAAAUUGAUAAUUUUAAUGAUAGAUGUGAUGCAUUUGUAAAUCUAAAGAUAUAAAAUAAUCCAAUCAAAUGAAAUUUUUAUAGAAAAUUCUUUUUUACUAUUUAGAGUAAGAUCAGUAUCUCCAAUCUUAAAUUCAAGUCUUCUGUCAUCAUUUUUUAUGAGAUUUUUAUUUUCAACCGUUUAUUUUUAGACUACUUGUCUGAUAGGUAAAUGAUACCGAAAAAUUAUAAAAUUUAGUUUUCAAAUAUUUUUAAUAGUGUAGAUCAAGUCUAACAGAAACGAUCGUCGAUUUGAAAGCGGCAUUAUUGAAAACAACUUGGUAGCCGAUAGUAUACCAGCCUAGCUCUAUAUAUAUCUUUUUUAUUGCAAAUAAAGGAGACUUUGCCUUGAGGUGGACCUUAGAGACUGUUUGAGUGGGGUUGAGUGACAAAGUAUUGUUUAGACCCGGUCCACCAUAUCAGUGGUGGACCCAUUUAGUUGCUUAUCAUAAAACCCAUCUUAGUUUUACUUUUAAUUCAUAAAUAUAAAUUUAAGACAAAAAAAAUGAACAUAUUUGAAAUAUGAGAAAAGAAAUGGUAAAAACAAACUGAAUCAAUCUGAGCUAAAAAAUAUUUUGAUUUUUCACAUAAGUAAUGCCAUCUUGUUGUAUCUGCUAAAGUUUUGAUCUGAAGCAUCAUGAGAACUAAUGCAUAUUAUUAAUUAAUACAUAUUAAGUUGUUACAAUAGAACAAACCAAAUUGAAUUGGAUCAAGUACACUUGGUUUAAUUCGAUUAGUGUUCCAGGUGGUUAUUUCUUGGGAAUGAGGAAACAAAUGAUGGUGAAAGAAUAGAGGGGGUGAGUCAUAGGGUGGACCAGGUCUACCAUGUCACUUAAUAAAGAGCUAUGUAGAUUAUAGGGGCAAUUUCACCACUACCCCUCUUAAAUAUCUAAAUAUCGUAAAUACCCCUAUAAAAUUGAAAAUAUCAUAUAUACCCCUUCAAAUGUAAAAAAUUAUCACAAAUAUCCUUUUUUCUAACGGACGUUAUGNAGGGACGAGGAAGGAGCGACUUCGAAGAAGACGAAGGAACGGGAGCUUCUCUCGCCUCUCUCUCUCUCUCUCUCUCUCUCUCUCUCUCUCUCUCUCUCUCUCUAUAUAUAUAUAUAUAUAUAUAUAUAUAUAUAUAUAUAUAUCGAGCUAGGCCGGUAUACUAUCGGUAGUACAGAGGCCUCCGUGCUACCAAGUUGUUUUCAAUGAUGCGGCUUCCAAAUCGACGAUCGGCUCCAUUAGACUUGAUCUACACUAUUAAAAAUAUUUGGAAACUAAAUUUCAUAAUUUUUCGACAUCAUUUGGUUAGUGAUCAAAAGGUCUGAAAAUUGACAAUUUUAAUGGUAGAUAUGAUGCAUUUGUAAAUCUAAAGGUGUAAAACAAUCCAAAUCAGAUGAAAUUUUUAUAGAAAUUUUUUUUUACUAUUUAGAGUAAGAUCAGUACCUCUGAUCUUAAAUUCAAGUCUUCUAUCAUUAUUUUUUAUGAGAUUCUUAUUUUCAACCGUUCAUUUUUAGACUACUCGUUUGAUAAUCAAAUGAUACCGAAAAAUUAUAAAAUUUAGUUUUCAAAUAUUUUUAAUAGUAUAAAUCAAGUCUAACAGAGACGAUCGUCGAUUUGAAAGCGGCAUCAUUGAAAACAACUUGAUAGCCGAUAGUAUACUAGCCUAGCUCUAUAUAUAUCUUUUU
Molecule: long non-coding RNA, 63536 nt
Filed under: Ananas comosus (pineapple)
Lineage: Eukaryota; Viridiplantae; Streptophyta; Magnoliopsida; Poales; Bromeliaceae
Description: long non-coding RNA (ACOM_LNC014497)
Source: RNAcentral